RNAcentral lists this long non-coding RNA (53482 nucleotides) under Ananas comosus (pineapple). RNAcentral describes it as "long non-coding RNA (ACOM_LNC030907)". The record is from RNAcentral. Lineage: Eukaryota; Viridiplantae; Streptophyta; Magnoliopsida; Poales; Bromeliaceae.
AAGAGAAAUUAUGAAGAGAUAUUUACAUAUUACAGGAGAAGCGCAAAUAAAUUUAUAUCAUGUAUUUGUGAAUUUACAAAAUAAGCAAAUAAAGGCAGUGAAAAUUGUUGGCUUAAAUGGGCCAGCAUUCUGCCCUGUGGCGGAAUGUCAUGUUGAGCCGAGUCAUGUUCGAAAUGGCGUGAGGCUGGGUGGGCCGACUCAUGUUCGAAGUGGCGUGAGGCUGGUUGGGCCGAGUCACAAUCGAGACUCGUGGGCGCUGUAUCUGUACGCUUUAAGUGAAUUGGUUGCGUAUUUCUAACAACUCGAGCUUCUGGGAUUAAUGGUUAGCGCCAACGAUCCAACAAAAAUGUCAACGAAUGGGAUUCAAAUCAUUGAAUCUGUUAAAUGCAUAAAAUAAUAAAGUCGUGCAGAAAGAAAGUUGAUAGCUAGUCAAGUCUGCAGACAUAAUUUAACAGAUUAGAAGGGAAAAACCUAACAAAGUAAGAAAGAAAACUGAAGAAAACAAGAAUGAAGUUUCAUAAUCGCCGUAAAUCAACUGAUGUGAAACUUUAUAAAAAGAAGUACUUCUAGACCCUUUCUUUGAAAUGAGAUUUUGUUCUUAGUUGACUGUAGCAGACUAACUCAUAAAAACAGUUGGGAAUUAAUGAAGUAAUUCUUUUAGAAACUUCAAGUGUAUAGCAUUUAGCAACAGUAAAGAUGGCACAAGAGAAAGAAAGUUGUUUCUUCAGUCCCUUCUUCUUAGUCCUUAGAACAUGUUUUUUCUGCUUUCUGGAAAUCGAAAGUUUUUCAAAACUGUCCAAAGAAUUUCUUUUCAAACUUUAGAAGAACUUUUACGCCGUGAGAUUAAUUAACUUCCAUAUGAUGGUUUGUAACGACCCGACCCGCUAGCAAUAAUAACUAGUUGGACUAAAACCAGCCCAAGAUCACCAGGCGAUAUGAGACUCGUCUUGCUAGCCUUGUCAUUCCGACCCUAAUUUAGCCUGUCAUUCUACGACCCUGACUUAGUCUGUUAUUUCAAUCCUGGCUUAGUCUGUCAUUUCGACCUUGGCUCAGUCAAGACUCAUUUCACACUUUCGGCUAGUGAAUCAGCUCUGAUACCAAAUGUAACGACCCGACCCGCUAGCAAUAAUAACUCGUUGGGUCAAAACCGUCGGCCCAAAAUUUUUAAGUCCAGUUUUUAUGUCUAGCCUAUUCAAACUUAUAUACCCCCACAUCUAACCAUAACUAUCCGAUGUGAAAUUAUUGGAGUGUCAAAUGGUUCGCGACGGACAGAAACAAUUAAUAGCAUAAAAGAGAAACCAGCAUGACACCACUGAGGAGAAUCCGAGAAUGGCAUUGGCAGCAGGUUAUUACCUGAAGAUUCAAGGCUUUCUUUUUAAGAUCUUGAGGUAAGAGAGGAUUCUGGGGAUACUUGUCUUCCAAAUACUGCCAAAUCCAAAGAAAACAAUUUUACUGAAUAACAAUCUAAUCCCAUGAAUUUCCAUUAUCAUGAUAUCUAAUAAACAAAAAUCCCAUAAGUUAUGCUAAUAUUUAAAGCAUAAAUAGCCAUAAAUCUUAUAUUCACCAAUAUGAUUGCAAACGAAUCAGCAACUACUAUAUCCCCAUCAACUAGUGCAGGGACAUAUUUAACUGGAUUGAUCUUCUCAAACUCUGCAAAGAACAAUAGUUAAAAAGAAAAAAAAAAAAAGGGUUAAAUAUGGAUUACCUUCGCAUAGUAUCGAUAAUUGAGGCAAAAGAUUUCUCAUUUAUAUCAUAAUAGACAAAAAAAAAAAAGCAUAAAUUUGCAAAAGUGAACCUUUAAAAAAAAAAAAAAUCAAGUUUCAAUAAAAUUAUUGGUGGAAUGUUACUAUCAAACACACUUACUAGUGAAAUCUACUUUUUAGUUCAAUAAAAGAAUUUGAUUAGCUUCUUCACACCUGGAUUCAAUUGCUCGCCUUUUAGAAGAUUCACUGCUUUGUACUCAUAAUCCAACCCUUUCACACAGGAAAAGAAAAAGAAAAAAAAUCAAGUUAGGCAUGAUUAAAUUCCAAUAAAAUAGAGUAACUUAAUUAGAGAAAAUUGCAAUGAAAUUAGAGAAAAUUGCCAAUGAAACUAAGGAUUUGGCCUUCAAAAGUUUGAAUUCCUAAUAUAUAACCCCUCUAAACUUUCAAAACUUACAAAUUCAUCACUCUCUAUUGCUUCACCAAUUAAACUCAAACAUUUCUUGCCAAAAAAAAAAAAACAAAUCAUUCUACCAUCAAAUAAAUAUCUUUUUAAAUAUUGUUGCCGUCAUUGUUUAUUUCUAAUGUCUCUUUCUAUCUCUUCUCUGUGAAUAACAAAAUCCUAAACCUUUAAAAGAUGAUAAAGUUUAUUCCAAGGGCAUAAAAGCCCUAAUUAUGAAAAAUUACUCAACUAGCAGGGACUAAUUAAUCUGAAUAGUUAAAACUUUGAAGGAAUGAAUUACAAAAUUAAAAAUUUGCAAGAACAAAUUGCAUUUCAAAAUUUUGCAGGGAUAUAUAAUGCAUUUUCUCUUAGGGACCUAUUUUGUUCAGUUGUAGGGUAUAGCGCUGUAAGAUAUAAGUAUUGUCUACGCAGUGCUUUAAAAUCAAUAUUUUCAUAUUAAAGUCCCGCAGAAGCAUUAAAUUGGCGCUUUUGCAUUUGGACCUCAGACUCUCAAUUCUGAUUCCUGCUGCGGUACAAGUACUUUUAUGUUAGCCAAACGCUCUACUGAAAAUAUAUUGGCGUCAAAUAACACUUAACAAAUUGAUAAAAUUACUGGGAUAGAGCCAAACUUUCCGAGAAUAAGAGUUAAAAGACAACAAACGGUAAAUGUAUUAAAAGUUUUAGCUUCACUAUCCAACAUUUUAAUGCAUUUGAUUCGAGCCGUUUAACACCAUUUUCACUUUAGAAUUCGGAUGCGACAUUUAUAUUAAAGAGUUUAAGGGCCUAUUUGGUAUUAAAGCCCAUUGAACGCCUUCAGUCCGAUUGCAGAAAAUAUACCGUAACGAAUUCAUUACAAAUAUAUCAUAACUAAUUCAUUGCGAUAUAAAGAAAGCGACGUAUGAACACAGUAAAAAAUAGAUCGUAAUUGAUUCAUCACGACGAUGUACGAAACUAAAUAAAAAAUUUUCUAUCGUAUUUUUUCAUCGCACUUAACAAAAACGAAGCCUAAUUUGAGUAUUUUUCGUGAUUUAUAAGACUAAAGAUUUGUAAAAAAAAAAUUAGGAACUGAAAGUAAAUUUUUGAAAGGCAGGAUGAUCGGAUCAGAGCGAAUCAUAGUUUGGAUUAUCCGGGAAAAAAAAAAGAAAAAAAAAAGGGAAAAAAAAAGAGAAAAAAAAGAGAAAAAAAAGAGAAAGGACCUUUGAGAUUGAGGGCGAUGCGGGCUCGUUGAGAGCAGGAGCUCCGCCAGUAGGAGUAGAGAGUGAGCUUCUCCCCCGAAUCCCCCAUCUCAUGUAAACACAAGACGCAGUAAUGAAGAUGGAGAGUCAAGAAGGGAUUAAUUAAUUAAGAAGAAAUUAUGAUGGGGGAAGGAGACGUGCUGCAUUGCAGCUUGUUGAUUUUAUAUAUAUAUAUAUAUAUAUAUAUAUAUAUAUAUAAUAUAUAUAUAUAUUAUAAAUAUAGAGUGAGGCUACUAUGCUAUCGGAAGCACGGAGCCUUCUUGCUUCCAGCUGUUUUCAAUGUUGCGACUUCGAAUCGUCGAUCGGCUCCGUUAAAUUUGAUCUAGAGUAUUUGAGGUACCUAGAAAUAAAUUUUAUGAUUUUACGAUAUUAUUUGCCUAGUGAACGAAGGGGCUCAAAUCAACGGUUGAAAAUAAAAAUCUUACAAAAUGGAUAAUAUGACAUUAAAAUUUUAAACAAAGAUAUUGAUCGUUUUUAUAGUAUAAAGAAUUUUUUAUCAAAAUUUCACAUGAUUUGGAUAUUCUACGCCAUUAAACUUGCAAACGCUCACUACGGUCAUUGAAAUUUGUUGAUUUUGAGCCCAUUCGAUCACUAGGCAAAUGAUAUCGAAAAAUAAUAAAAUUUAUUUUUUAUGUACUCCAAAUAUUCUAGAUCAAGUUUAACGGAGCCGAUCGACGAUUCGAAAGUCACAAAUCGAAACGAGCUGGAAGACACGAAGGGCUCCGUGCUUCAGAUAGUAUAGUGCCUCAUAUUUACUAUAUAAAUAUACCUAUAAUAUACUAUAUAUAUAUAGAAUUAUGCUACUAUACUAUCAAUAGUACCAACCCCUUGAUACUAUUGAGUUUUCGACCGUUGGAUGAAAGGAUGUGCGGUUAGGAUAAUAGUGAUCCCCGGUUAAAUUGAUAGUGGUCCCCUAGGGUUGAGUGGGUGGUUGGUUUAAUAGUAUAAUCUAACGGGUGGAAAUUAUCAAAGAAUAGAUCUAACGGUAGAAAACUCGAUAGUACCAAGGGCUUGGUACUAUCGAUAGUAUAGUAGCCGGAAUCUCUAUAUAUAUAUAUAGGCUUAUGCUACUAUACUAUUAAUAGUACCAAGCCCUUGGUACUAUUGAGUUUUCGGCCGUUGGAUGAAAGGAUGUGCGGUUAGGAUGAUAGUGGUCCCCGGUUAAAUUGAUAGUGGUCCCCUAGGGUUGAGUGGGUGGUUGGUUUAAUAGUAUAAUCUAACGGGUGGAAAUGAUCAAAGGGUAGAUCUAANNNNNNNNNNNNNNNUCACUAGGCAAAUGAUAUCGUAAAAUCAUAAAAUUUAUUUUCUAGGUACUUCAAAUACUUUAGAUUAAGUUUAACGGAGUCGAUAGACGAUUCAAAAGUCGCAGCAUCGAAAACGAACUGGAAGCACGGAAGGCUUCGUGCUUCCGAUAGCAUAGUAGCCUCACUCUAUAUAUAUAUAUAUAUAUAUAUAUAUAUAUAUAUAUAUAUAUAGAGAGAGAGAGAGAGAGAGAGAGAGAGAGAGAGAGAGAGAGAGAGAGUUUUGGCAGCCGGCCGGCUAGUUUUGGAACUUCUGUCUGCACUCUGCAGCGUGGGCGGUUAGUUCGGACAGCAGGCAGACUGCGACGCAACGGGCAAUUGUUUUUUUUUUUUUUUUUUUGAAAGAUAGGCAGCACGCUACCUAUUUCGUUAAUUUUAUUUAGAAGUAAACUUAGCUAAAGUUAUGAAUCAAUUAGGAUUCUCUCGGGUACCAACCACCAAACUCUUUGCCACUUGCUCUAGGGACGGUCGGUCGCAACGGGCAAUUGUGCAUCGCACUAAAGGUGGGGUUUGGUUUGGUAGAAGGUAAGACUCCUCAAGAGAUUGUGGGAAUAAUGCUUUACUAGUAUAGUAAUCUGUGCAACAAAGGAAGAAAAAACACUGAUAAAAAAAAUGACGAUAAGAGAUGAAAUUCAUCUUGCAAAUAAAGAAAGAUAACAGUCGAAGAAAAUGACAGAGAAAAUAGAGAUGUGAGCCCGAUUCUAUUUAAAUAAAAAAAGAAUCCGAUUUGAUUCAAGCAAAAAAAAGAAAAAUAUGCGGAGGACUUACGCGGCUCGGGGGAACCGACACUCAAUAAUAAUUGAUUUGGUUCAAGUAAAGAAAAAGAAAAAUUCAGUUGAUUCAAGUAAAAAAAAAAUAUGGAGGACUUGAGUCGGUUCAAAGUAGAGCUCAUAUCCAAUAAUAAAGAGAAUUUUAUCAUGUGGCAAAUUUAGGGAGAAUAAUGUAUAGGUAUAGAGGUAUAGAGGUAUAGAUAUGCGGCGGGAAGAUAUAAUAAAUAAGAAGAGGUUUUGCUUAUUUCUUUUUAUUACUAUUCAAAAUUUUUAAAUUUACUCUUAAAUAUCCAAAAUAUCCUUAAUCAAUCAAAUAUAAAUGCCAUUUGAAUGUUUCAGCAUGUCACAUCAUUGACCUAUUCAAUAUAUUGCUAUCUUGGUCAAUUGAAUGUAACAGUAAAUGAAACUAGUAGAUGUUUAUCCCUGUAAAAUUAUCUGUUUACAUACAUUCCCUUGAAAGAAAAAAACAUAAUAAUAAUCAAACUCUCAUAUAUGAUAUAUGCCUUCAGAAACUCUUUUCAAACACACAUACACAGAUAUUAUAAAGUUAUAUAUAUCAUUUUAUUUUUUUUAGAGUGGAUGCACAUGUAAAUAGCUUAAAUGCAAUUUACAUGAUGAUAAAAAUUCAAAAGUUUCAGGUGCAUAUUUGUCAAAGGAAAAAGCUGUAUAUGUGUAUAUAUAUAUAUAUGAAUAAGAAUCAGAAUCAGAACCAUUCCAACACAUACUUGUUUAUUGCCUAUUCAUUUCCUACUAAUAAUUUAUUAUUACCACUACCCAUCAAAUUGUGUUGGAAUAGAACUCAACUCAGCUGUUUGAUGGAAGCAACAUUCAUUUCUUAGACAUUUUACUCCUCUCCCACAAGUGUCAGAAACAAAAGCCAUGGCAGCAGAUGAAGAGGUAGGGCAAAAUUUAUGUAGGAAUGAGUGCUAUUGAUAUCUUAAUCUAAAGUACAUGACAUACUGUGAAAGAGAUUGUAGUGAAAACAAUGCUGUUGACAAUUAACCUCCCUUGCGCAAUGUUACCGUCAGCAAACCGUAAAACAAUCGCAGAAUACAAUUCUAACUACCAGCUAAAAGACAUUUAUAAGGUAAUUAAGAGGGUGGAAAAGUAUAUCUACAAGUUACUUUCCUCCCAUACGACGACUAUAGUUGGUAUUUGAAAUUACAUUAAACAUUUUCUGACAUAUUGAGAAUUAACAGAGUUGCAGAAGGAAAUGAAAUAAUAACUGCUCAAAUAUUGAGAAGAUUUUCGGCAGAAUUUUGACACUAUAGGAGGUAAUUAAAGUGCAAAGACUGACUUUCAAACUUAAAAUAAGAAAAAGAAAACAAAAGUUCAGGUCUGGGACUACCACUUUUGCACUCAAUUGAAUAUAUUAUAUACCAAAUCCUAGAAAUUUAUUGUAAUUAAUCGCGACCAUAACAAUGUAAAAGAUUUCUGAAACCUUGAACUUUUAAUGCUAUGUGAACAAGUCAUAUGAAGCAUUACAACACUUGGGGUAUCAAUUGUCCCUUGAAGGCGGAUUACUAACAAUAUACAAAGAAGUAACCACAAAGUCUUGCGCUUUUAUUGAUAUCGAAGCAUAUCUUGAAGUUCAUAACCGUGAGAUUCAAGCACAUACACAUACAUAUUUUUUGCUCAGCUAGUAGAAUCUUAUAGACUUUUUUAUUCUUGAUGACAUACGCUGAGUGGGCGAUCCAACUUCCGCUGAGGCUGCUAAGGUGAGGAAGGCGCGUCCGGUUGUCUUUCAGGGAGUGCGGCUUGAAAUGCGGGUAACUCCAUAUAGGCUUCGUGGAGCCUUGCCAGCGUAGGAUAAUUAGACUGCAAGGAAUGAAGUACGGAGAUCAAAUUAGUUCUCAAACCAACUGCACAUAAAAAUUUUAAGAAAACAAGCUUAAAGCAUAAGGCGUCAAAUUAGUUUAGCUAUUUCUGUAACCGCUAGCCAGGAAUAUUCAAUCCAUAUGUUUUCAACAGUGCACAAUUCUUGUGUAAUUAAACUUCAGAAAUUUCCGCCUUCCAUGGACUAUUUGAUUGCAUAAAGAAUAAAAUCGAAUUUCUAGUUCUUGAGAUUGCUGCAUAUCUGUCCUCAAAAGACACUUUUUCAUCGACAGACACUGCACGCAUAUGGCAUGAACAGGUGUUUAUUUGAACUACUCUAAAUCCUGGAUCGCCUUAACUAAGGCCUCAAAUCGACAAAAUAGCCCUUGUUUUUUGUAUCAACGCUGUUGACAAAAGAACUAGAAAGUAGUUUUACGGGCCAAGCUUUUGCCAACAUUUAUAAGGCUUUGAUGCAAUAGGAAAUAGGUUAUAAUGGUUAGCGAAAGGGCAUAUAUGUAGAUAUGGGCGCACGAAAAUUUGUGCACUUUGAGGGGCGAAUAUGCAAAAAAUCACUUUUAGCCAAUACCAAUUAAAAGCUACCAGUAACUUAGCAAAAGAGGUAGAAACAAAACUACCAUGUCAAUUGCAAAGCGCUUCACUCCCGCAUAAAUUUGGGGUGCUAGAAACACAUCUCCCUGCAUGUGAAAAUCAUCAAAUAGUAGCAAUAUAUUGGUAAGUUGUGAUUUAUAUGAACUGCAGUUUGCAUAAUACAUGCAAUCACGCAAUCACAAUCCAUGUCAUGAUAUUUUGAUCAACAUAUAUAAACAGAUUUAUGUAAGUGCACUGGCGAAAAUCUGGUCCUACUAAAUACUAAAGAUCACCAAAGCUCACAAGUAUGAUGAGUAUGAGAGGAGAAUGGUUGUCGAUCAUUGAGAAAUUUAUGAAGAAGAGUUACAAGCACAAUAUUAGACGUAUAAAGAAUAAUGUUAAACCAAUUAAUGUGUUAAUCAUAAACUUAUAAAGUUACUGUUCGAGAGUAAAUGUUCUGCUAAUAUACGGUUUAUUAAUGUAGCGCAUCCAAUAGUAUCUAUACUUUAUAAGUUGCAACACUAGACGAAAAAAUGAUAGUAAACUAAUUUCACUAUUGCAACCUAACUAUAAAUAGCAGCUAAAUAAAAUUCAGGUUUUGGCAGGCAAACCAAUAGGACUUCAUCUCCUGUAGCAUAUUUUCCAGCAACACCAGCCAACAGUUUCUCAAGAGCUGAAGCAAAAUCAAACAAAAGAAAAAUAAGUUCAUUUAAAAUGUAAAACACUUGUGUCAAAGAAUAAAAUCGAGUACAGGCUUAUAGCUAACCGUCCAGAGCUACAAUACAACACUGAUAGAAGGGCAGAAAUCAACAGAACAAUGAGUGAACUCAAGAAGACAGCAUGCGGUAACAAGAACACAUGCAAAUGUACGAAGGUCUAUGUCUAUCUCUCAUGUUAUGUUCUCAACAACAUACCGAAAGAUUUUAUUCAUUUACAAGAAGAUAAUGGAUAUAAGCUAACCCGUGAAUCCUUUGUUGAUUUGAAGUUGAGCCCAUUGAAGUUUUUUCUCAGAACCAAGAUUUUCCUCAAUGUAUUGCUAAAAAGUUAUAUUAAUCUAUCAGCAAGUAUGAAAUGAUUUUUAACAAUAUGAACUGAGUUCUGUAUAGUAGGGGCCCUGCAGCUCGUAACUCACCAGUACAGUAAGACUCCGAAGAGGCUGAAUACUUGAACUGACAAUACUUGCUAUCUGUGAUGAGAAAUUAUGAAGAGAUAUUUACAUAUUAUAUCAGGAGCGGAGAUAACUAUCAUGUAUUUGUGAAUUUACAAAACAAGCAAAUAAAGGCAGUGAAAAUGUCAGUGAAUGGGCUUCAAAUCAUUGAAUUUGUUAAAUGUGUAAAAUAACAAAGCCAUGCAGAAAGAAAUUUGAUAGCUAGUCAAGUCUGCACACAUAAUUUAACAUAUUAGAAAGGAAAAACCUAAUAAAGCAAGAAAGAAAGCUGAAGAAAACAAGAAUGAAGUUUCAUUGUCGUUCGUAAAUCAAUUGAUGUGAAACUUUUUAGUAAAGAAGUACUUCUAGACCCUUUCUUUGAAAUGAAAUUUUGUUCUCAGUUGACUGUAGCAAACUAACGCAUAAAAACAGUUGGGAUUUAAUGAAGUGAUUCUUUUAGAAACUUCAAGUGUAUAGCAUUUAGCAACAGUAAAGAUGGCACAACAGAAAGCAAGUUGUUUCUUCUGCCUUUCUUCUUAGUCCUUAGAACAUUUUUUUUCUUGUGUUUUGUGGAAAUCGAAAGUUUUUCAAAACAGUCCCAAGAAUUUCUUGUCAAAAUUACAGGUUUAGUUUAGGCCUCCAAAACUUAGAAGAACUUUUUACGCUGUGAGAUUAAUUAACUUCCAUGUGAUGGUUCACGACAGAUAGAACAAUUAAUAGCAUAAAAAAGAAACCAGCAUGACAUCACUGAGGAGAAUCCAAGAAUGGUAUUGGCAGCAGGUUAUUACCUGAAGAUUCAAGGCUUUCUUUUUAAGAUCUUGAGGUAAGAGAGGAUUCUGGGGAUACUUGUCUUCCAGAUACUGCCAAAUCCAAAUAAAACAAUUCUACUAAAUAACAAUCUAAUCCCAUAAAUUUUCAUUAUCAUGAUAUCUAAUAAACGAAAAUCCCAAAAGUUAUACUAAUAUUUAAAGCAAAUAGCCAUAAAUCUUUUAUUCACCAAUAUGAUUGCAAACGAAUCAGCAACUACUACAUCCCCAUCAACCAGUGCAGGGACAUAUUUAACUGGAUUGAUCUUCUCAAACUCUGCAAUGAAAAAUAGUUAAAAAGAAAAAAAAAAGGGUUAAAUAUGGAUUACCUUCUCAUAGUAUCUAUAAUUGAGGCAAAAGAUUUCUCAUUUAUAUCAUAAUAGACAAAAAAAUAAAUAAUAAAUAAGCAUAAAUUUGCAAAAGUGAACCUUAAAAAAAAAAUUCAAGUUUCACUGAUAUAAUUGGUGCAAUGUUACUAUCAAAAACACUUACUAGUGAAAUCUACUUUUUAGUUCAAUAAAAGAAUUUGAUUAGCUUCUUCAUACCUGGAUUCGAUUGCUCGCCUUUUAGAAGAUUCACUGCUUUGUACUCAUAAUCCAACCCUUUCACACAGGAAAAGAAAAAGAAAAAAAUCAAGUUAGGCAUGAUUAAAUUCCAAUAAAAUAGAGUAACUUAAUUAGAGAAAAUUGCAAUGAAAUUAGAGAAAAUUGCCAAUGAAAUUAAGGAUUUGGCCUUCAAAAGUUUUAAGUCCUAAUAUAUAUCCCUCUAAACUUUCAAAACUUACAAAUUUAUCCCUCUCUAUUGCUUCGCCAAUUAAACGCAAAUAUUUCUUGCCCAAAAAAAACAAAUCAUUCUACCAUCAAAUAAAUAUCUUUUUAAAUAUUGUUGCCAUCAUUGUUUAUUUCUAAUGUCUCUUUUCUAUCGCUUCCUUGUGAAUCACAAAAUCCUAAACCUUUAAAAGAUGAGAAAGUUUCUUCCAAGGGCAUAACAGCCCUUAUUAUGAAAAAUUACUCAAUUGGCAGGGACUAAUCUGCCAAGUUCAAACUUUGAAGGAAUGAAUUACAAAAUUAAAAAUUUGCAAGAACAAAUCGCAUUUUCAAAACUUUGCAGGGAUAUAUAGCGCAUUUGCUAUUAAGGACCUAUGUACUUCAGAUGUAGGGUGUAGCGCUAAGAGAAAUAAGUAUUGGCUAAGUAGUGCUUUUAAAUCAAUAUUUCAUAUUAAAGCCCCGUAGAAGCACCAAAUUGGCGCUUCUGCUUUUGGACCUCAGACUCUCAAUUCUGAUUCCUGAUGCGGUACAAGUACUUUUUUGUUAGCCAAACGCUAACGAAUUGAUAAAAUUACUGGGAUAGAGCCAAAUUUUCUGAGAAUAAGAGUUAAAAACCAACAAACGGUAAAUGUAUUAAAAGUUUUAGCUUCACUAUCCAACAUUUUAAUGCAUUUGAUGUGAGCCGUUUAACACCAUUUUCACUUUAGAAUUCGGAUGCCACAUUUAUAUUAAAGAGUUUAAGGGCCCAUUUGGUAUUGAAGCCCAUUGAACGCCUCCAGUCUAAUCGCAGAAAAUAUACCAUAACUAAUUCAUUGUGAUAUACAGAAACCGACGUAUGAACACAGUAGAAAAUAUACCGUAACUGAUUCAUUAUGACGACGUACGAAACUAAAUAGAAAAAUUUCUAUCGUAUUUUUUCAUCGCACGCAACGCAAACAAAGCCUAAUUUGAUUAUUUUUCGUGAUUUAUAAGACAAAAAAGUUGGGAAAAAAAAAUAGGAACUGAAACUAAGUUUUGAAAGGCGGGAUGGUCGGAUCAGAGCGAAUCAUAGCUUGGACUAUCCAGAAAAAAAAAAAAAAGAAAAAAAAAAGAGAAAAAAGGGAAAGGACCUUUGAGAUUGAGGGCGAUGCGGGCUCGUUCAGAGCAGGUGCUCCGCCAGUAGGAGUAGAGAAUGAGCUUCUCCCCUGAAUCCCCCAUUUCAUGUAACACAAGACGCAGUGAAGAGAGAAAGAGGAGAAGAAAUUAAGAAGAAAUUAUGAUGGGGAAGGAGAUGUGCUGCCAUUGGCUUUUUGAGAAGAAAUUAAGAAGGAGACGUGCUGCCAUUGGCUUUUUGAGAAGAAAUUAAGAAGAAAUUUUGAUGCGGAAGGAGACCUGCCAUUGGCUUUUUGAUUAUAUAUAUAUAUAUAUAUAUAUAUAUAUAUAUAUAUAUAUAUAUAUAUAUAGAGAGAGAGAGAGAGAGAGAGAGAGAGAGAGUUGAGCUAGGAUACUGUCAGAAGCACAAAAGGGAGCGGUGCUUUUAAAUUUUUAACUAUUGAAUGGAGAGAUGUAGAGUUGAGAUGAUGGUGGUAGAUGGUGGUAAGUGGAAUAGUAUUUGAUUCUAGGGAUAGUUUUGAAAUUUCUGUCUGCACUCUGUAGUGGCGGUGGAUAGUUCGGACAGCGGGCAAACUGCGACGCAACGGGCAACUGUGCAUCGCACUAGAAGGUGGGGUUUGGUUUGGUAGAAGGUAAGACGUCUAAUGAGAUUGUGGGAAUAAUGCUUUACUAGUAUAGUAAUUCGUGCAACAAAAGAAAAAAAAAUAGUCAUAAAAAAAAACAACGACAAGAGGUAAAAUUUAUCUUGCAGAUAAAGAAAAAUAAUAGUCGAAGAAAAUAAGAAAAUGAAAGAGAAACAGUUCGGUCUUAUGUAGAGAUGUGACCUGAUUCGAUUCAAAUAAAAAGAAAAAAAAAUUCGAUUUGAUUCAAACAAAGAACAUGUGAUAAACUUAAGCCGGUUCGGGGAAACCGACACUCGACAAUAAUUAAUUUGGCUCAAGUAAAGAAAGAGAAAAAUUCAGUUCGAUUCAAGUAAAAAAAAUAUGAAGGACUUGAGUCGGUUCAAAGUAGAGCUCAUAUCCAAUAAUGAAGAGAAUUUUAUCAUGUGGCAAAUUUAGAGAGAAUAAUGUAUAGGCAUAGAGGUAUAGAUAUGCGGCGGGAAGAUAUAAUAAAUAAUAGAAGGUUUUGCUUAUUUCUUUUUAUUACUGUUCAAAAUUUUUAAAUUUACUCCUAAAUAUCCAAAAUAUCCUUAUAAAGUUCUAUUCCAUUUGUAAAUCCUAGAAAAAUUGAGAAUAUUUGAAAAUUUUCUUUUAAAUGGACAAAGAUUUUUUAGUCCUCCAGAAGUAAAUAAGAUAUUUUGCAGUUUCAAAGGGCAUAUUAAAUCUUAUCCCAAAAGAAAAAUAUAUACAUAUAUAGUGUAGAGCUACUAUGCUAUCGAAAGCAUAGAGGGUUUUAUACUUACGACUUUUUGACCCUAGGAUCAAGAAUUAUACAAUUGGGACGAUUGCGGUCCCCCCUAGGGUUGAAUAGUAUCCCUAGAGUUGAGUAAUCUCCACAGGAUAAUAGUAUUAAUUCAAAGAUUAGAAAUGAUCAAACGGAUUGAUCUAAGGGUUAAAAAGUCGGAAGUACCAGAUCCUCUAUGCUUUCGAUAACAUAGUAGCUCUACUUUACAUAUAUAUACUUAUGUUUGUAUGCAUAUUCUGUAUAUUAUUAUGAGUACUGUAUUUUUUAUGAACCCACCAAAAAAUAGAAGAGCAUAUUUUUAUAUAUUUUCGUCUCAACUCUAUUUCGUUUACUAGCGUUUAAUGGUCCUUUGCUCUCAAUGAGUUUCCAUAAAUAUAGUAUAACUAAAAAUGUAUAUAGUUGGAGAAUCAAAAAAUUUUGCUUGGUUCCUUGAAGUUGAAAACUAUUUUUUUAAAAUUUUGUUGCUUGGUAUGUUUCAUGAUCAAGAAUUUAAAUGUUGAGAGAUAGGAUUGUACUGUGCCAAUGUGGGCCACUCAAAAAUAUACUGUUAACACAUGUGGCGUGUUUGGUUCGUCUUUUUUUUUUUUACUCGGAAUCAGAAUUGGAAUGAACGAAUCCAUUUGUCCGUAUUUGGUAUGCAGGAUUUUCAAUCCGAUUUCAAUUUUCGGGUGAAUGGGAAUUAUUCAAUUACCCUUUUUUCCAAUCCGGCCUAAGAGGUCGGAUUGGAUAUUAAAUUCGCACGGAAUGGAUUUGUUCUGAUUAAAUUUAACUUUUUUAAAUUUAUUUUUUAAUUAAAAUAUAAGUUUAAAUUAAAAAAUUAUAUUUAUAAAUUUUAAUUUUAAUUUUAACUUAAAUUAAAAAUUAAAAUUCAAUCAAAUAUUUCAAAUCUAAUUUAUAAAUUUUAAUUUAAAUUUUAAAUUUUAAUUUUAAAUUUAAAGUUUUAUUCAAUUUUUUAAAAAUUUUAAAUUAAAUUUACGGAUUCAAAUUGAAAUUUAAAUUAUAAUUUUAAGUUUGAAUCUGAAUAAAUUAAAAUUUAGUUUUAUAUUUUGAAUUAUCUUUUCAAUUUGAAAUUUUAAUUUUUUUUAAAAAAAUAUAUUUAAAAUUUUGACAUCAUUUUAAAAUUUUGACAUAAAUUUUUAAUAUUUAAUUUUUAGUUUGAAUUUAAACUAAUAUAUUAUAAGGAUAAAUUUGACAUAUUAAUUUAAUUACGUUUCUGAUAUCUAUCUGAACCAAACACCAAUAGUGGGAAUAGUUUAUUCCAAUUCCAAUUUAGGUGGUAAACCAAACAGAAUGAGAUAAUGAAUCAUUCCAAUUCCGUUUCCAGCUUAUUCUAUUCCGAUUCCGAUACCGAUUCUGACUUCAAACCAAACGCACCCACAAUGGCAUGAAAUAUUUAUUUUUUCUAACGUCAAAAUAUUUUAAAUAUACAUACCUUUAUCAAUUAUUUUGAACUUUAUUAAUGUCACUUUUUUUUUUUGAGAUUAAGAUAGCAUGCUACCCGCUUCAUUCAUUGAAAAAAUAAAUUAGGCUACAAGAGUGAGGCAACUGGGCCUCGUGAAAAAAAAAAAAAAAAAAACCGAUUCACCGACAAAAAUUGAUUCCAAGCUGCCGACAGCUGUUUAACGCUACACACAACUCUCAAAGGAUCCAACUGAUUCGAUCGGAAGAUCGUAUUAUUUCUACUCUCCUAGAUAAUCCACCAAUAGGCGGCUAGUUCCGUAAUCCACUUGAGCUUAGAAUGCGGGCCCUUCCUAUCCACCCACCUAUCCCAAACCGAAUGAACAUCCGCCCCCAGAUCCCCAACCUGUACACCCUCGACAACCGUCACUAAGAUGAAUUUGGCGAAGACACAAUUCGUGAACAAAUGAUCCAUGGUUUCCUCCUCAGAUCCGCACAAUACACAAGUCGUGUCUCCAGUCCACCCUCUUUUAAUAAGGUUAUCUGCGGUGAGGAGCCUCUUUUUGAGGACGAUCCAAUAGAAAAUUUUACCUUUAAGAGGUAUACGUAAUCUCCAUAACUUAUUAGCGUGGACAUCCCGUAUACCUCCUUCACUCAGCGCCGAGUAAGCUGACUUGACCGAGAAACGCCCCCCAGGGUCCCAUCGCCAAAGGAUCCUAUCCGGGCACUGGUCUACUUUGAAAGCAGAGACCCAAUCCAUAAACUCCGAGAAGUAUAGCCCAAGGCCUGGCAAUUAGCAGCACCAUCUCCCAAGAUCUUAUUCCACUCCCACCCGUCGCUCCCCCAGCACUCAGAGACUUUGGCAAUCAUGUUUCCCACCCUAUUGUACACCUCCAGGUAAGCCCGUUGCAGGGACGAUUCCCUGCACCAACGAUCAAACCAAAAAUCGAUAGUGCUUCCGCUUCCCAACUUAAAAUUAAUACCCCAUUUGAAGAUAUCGGAGAGGCUUAGAACCCCUUUCCACUAGUGUGAAAUGGGCCGAAAGGAUCUUCCUUCCCUCAGCGGUCUUCUUCUGCAAUAGUAAAGGUCCUGAAUAAGUUUCUUCCACAGUAGCUGAGGUCCUGUGUGAAACUUCCAUCACCAUCUGACAAGCAAAGCUUGAUUCAUAGUAGCUAAGUCCAAAAUGCCAAGCCCUCCUUUUUUAUUUUUGCAAACGUUUUUCCAAGCGAUUAGACAUCCCUUGCCUGAUACGUUAUCUCCUCCUUUCCAAAAGAAAUCUCUACGCAUUGCCUCAAUCCAUUAGAUCGCCCAUUUCGGUGCCAUGAACGUAGACAUAAAGUAAAUGGGUAGGUUUGUUAAGACCGCGUUAACCAGGAUAAGCCUACCCCCCCGUCAAUUCUGCUUUGUAUUUUUUGAAUAACCCCCAUCCAGUCCCCCCUGGAGGGGGAUCUAGUGGAAAGGGGCAGGCCAAGAUAUGUGGUCGGGAGGCUGCCAACGCUACACUCAAGUAAAUCCGCCAAACUUCUCGCUCUUCCCUCAAUCUGACCAGUAUAAUACAACUCCGACUUGGCCUUGUUAAUUUUCAUUCCGGACGCCUAUUCAAAAAGCUGCCACAAGAACUUUAGGUUUCUUAAAUAUCUUUUCUUAGCCUCACAGAAAAAAAAUGUGUCAUCCGCAAAUUGAAUGAUAGUAACUCUCCUUGCGUCCUUGGGACCAAGGCCUUUGAUAAGAUUGUUCGAAAUAGCUUUGUCUGCCAAUCGGGCCAUGCAGUCCGCCACCAAUAAAAAGAGAAAUGGGGAAAGCGGGUCCCCUUGCCUAACACCUCCCUUUAUCUUAAUCCAAUUGGUAGCCUCCCCAUUAACCAGGACCGCCACUUUGGCAGAGCACACACAUAGCUUGAUCUAUCCACACCACUUCUCAUUAAAACCCCACCAGUCCAAGAUACGAAACAGAAAGGGCCAUCUGAUUCUAUCAUAAGCCUUUUCGAAAUCCACCUUCACUCCAACCCCCUCUAUAUCCUUCUUACGUCUAUUUUUUAAAAUUAAAAAAGAGGGUUUUAAAUCUUGCAGUGAGCAUAGUAGUCACACGUAUUGAUAUCUGGUCAGUAUAUGAUGAGCACUUAAAUUCUUUAAUAUGAUAAAAUUAUUCUUAAAAAAAAUAUUAAAAAAAUUAACUUAAGGUGUUGGUACAUAGGUAAGAUUACAUCUUAUUUGAAUUUACUCUUUCCAACUAAGUCAAAUUUGAGCAUAGUUAAAGAUAGAUAGCUAUUUAAAUAUUAUAAAGCUAAAUAUUUAGCAUCCAAAUUUAUGGGUAUAUAAUUAAUCAUCUAAACUUAUUAUUUAUUUUUUUUAGAGUGACGGAUAUUAGUUUAAUAAUUAAAAAUUAAUAAAAGAUGCACGUUGGCAAUAGAACUUUUUUACAAAAUAAUUUUUUAAAAUUUUAUAAUUUGCGAAAUGAUAAAAAAUCAGUGCCUUUUUUUUACAGUAAAAUUAAAUUUUGACGUCAAAAAAAUCCUCCUAUAUUGUUCAUAUAUAUAUAUAUAUAUAUAUGGCCCUUUUGCGCCAAAAAAAAGGGAUUUUUUUUAUUUGUUUAGAUAUUUUAGUAAGAAAAAAAUCGUUUACCAUUUUUCCUAUGCAAAUUUUCAUCCCAAAUGCUACGAAGCACGAGUGCAAAUGAUCUUCAAAAAUUGAUUCUCAUGACGAGAUUAGUUCAAUUAUGUUUAAUAGUGUAUCUAAACCUGGUUUGGUGAUUUAAUUAGUUUAGUUUUAUCUGCAUUCUUUGGUUUAGAAUAAUUAAUUAAUAUAUAUAUAUAUAUAUAUAUAUAUAUUUAAUCCAAACUUUAUUCAGCAUUAUUUACACGAUUAAUUGUAAAUGAUUUACCCUUUUUUUGAAUAUGAAAACAAAGUAAAUAGUCUCCUGCAUAAAACCUGCUAAUAAUAAUAAAUCAUUAGCCUAAACCAUAUUUAAAUUCAGUUAUUAUUGCUAUUAUUACAGAGGUCUUUUCUAUUCAAUAUGAAACUAUUGAGAUGCUAUAGAUCAGAACUCUUUAGAACUCUUGUCUAUUCGAUGUGGCUAUAGAGGUGUUAUAGAGCCCACCCCCCUUUUAGACCUCAGGACUUUCUAUUCGAUGUGGUUCAUCAGAUCUAAACACAGACAUAUCAGAAUUAUCAGGCGAUAUGAGAUUUUAAAGGUGGCUCCCACGGAUUCUCCGUUGCUGUAGCACUUUGCACCACAUAAUCAGCUGAUAUUUGUACCUAAUACCAAAUAUAACCACCGACCCAAAAUACUUAAUACAAGGUAUUAUAACUAUUGGAAGGCCUUUUAUAUAUUAAAUCAGAACUCUUUUUUAUAUGAGCUCCAGGGGAACCUCGGCCCUCCUCUCUCUUAGCUCUCCUCCCAAGGUCUGCUAGGAGUAGUUUGGUCCAACGGACCAAAAUCUAUUUUUUUAAAAUAAUACAAAUUUAUUAAUUUUUUUUAAAAAAUUAAAUAUUUACUUUAGUAUAAUUAUUUUUAUAAUUUUUUUAUUAUUUUAAUCAAAAUAUUAAUUUAAAUAAAAAUAUUAAUUGUUUAUAUUUUUAAAUUCAUACUAAAUUUUUUUAAAAAAAAUUAAAAAUAAAUAUUUUACUAGGCCGGCCCGAAGUACGGCUCGUGCCUUCCGGGUGAAGGACCGUGUCGGGCCAGAGGGUAGACAAUUUGGGCCCGGCACGGCCUGGCUAGAAAUUAAAUCCGGACCGGGCCGGGCCAGCCCUGACCUGUUUCGACCCAAAAAUUGUGGGCUGCGGCCCACAUUACACCCCUAGAUGGGCCCAUAAACAACCCAUUUUAUGUACUAGGCGAGAUUGGAAAUGUGGAUCUGCAUGCUCCUAAAACGAUAAACAAAUGUCAUGUUCAAUGUAGGAGUGUCAACGAGCCCGACACAAGUGAACUGGAGCCGGCUCGUGNGGCUGCGGCCCACAUUACACCCCUAGAUGGGCCCAUAAACAACCCAUUUUAUGUACUAGGCGAGAUUGGAAAUGUGGAUCUGCAUGCUCCUAAAACGAUAAACAAAUGUCAUGUUCAAUGUAGGAGUGUCAACGAGCCCGACACAAGUGAACUGGAGCCGGCUCGUGUUUGGCUCAUUUGAUAAACGAGCCGAACACGAGCUGGCUCGUUAAUGUAUCAAGCUGAAAAAUUCAGCUUGUAUUCGGCUUAUUAAUAAACAAGCUGAAUACGAGCUGACUUACGAACUGACCAACAAAUAAUAAGUUAAAUGAAUCAUAUUAGAUAUAUAUAUAUAUAUAUAUAUAUAUAUAUAUAUAAAAAUAAUUUAUUAAAUCUUAUCUAUUAGAUUUUGAUCUAACUUUAUAUAGAAAUGAAUUUUUUUAUAAUUGAGCUCGGCUUUCUAUUUUUUUUUUAAAAUCAAAUUAAUAUAUAUAUAUAUAUAUAUAUAUAUAAUAUAUAUUUAUAUAGUUAUUUAGUAUAUUAUAAAUAAAUAUACAUAUAAAUUAAAUAAAUUAUAUAAAUAUAAAAUAUAUGUAUUCAAGCUGUUAUCGAGCCGAACACGAGUGAGCUGAUCCCAGCUCGUGUUCGGCUCGUUUACUAAGCAAGCGAUUCAAUAUCGAGCUCAGUUCAAGCUAAACACGAGCUAACUUGCAAACGGCGAGCUGAAUUUUCACCUCUAGUUCAAGGUCGAGAUAGUCAUAUAUAUGAAAGGGAGAUUGUAUCGAAGGUUGCGAAAUUGGGCUCGACGCAAUGAGCAUGCGCACGGGAGAAGAGAACCAAGGUCGAGAUAGUGUCAUAGGUUUGGCUCUGAAAAACUCAGCUCAUAUUCAGCUCGUUCAUUAAACGAGCGAUUAGUUUCGAGCUUACUUUGAGCCGAACGUGAAUUGAUUCGCGAACAACGGACUGAAUUGUCAACCGUAAAAAGAAUCACGCUGAGAGCCAGCAGCCAAAAGUGUAAUUGCAUAAAAAGGAAUCAGGUGGGCAUCACCUUUAUCAGGAGAGCCCAUCCGACAGUACGGCCGUCGCUCUCUCCUGCGUCACAUUCCCUGCUGUUCACUUCUGGGCCGCUCGCUACUUCUGCUCCCGCCUUUGCCACAUGGAUUACCCGAUCACUUUCUCUCACAGCUCACCACAUAAGUGUGAUUUUACUCUCUGACCAACUUCUAGCCAUUUGAAUCUGUAGGGUGGAAACAAUUUUAAUAAUUUUGUUAAGAUAAGCAGUACAAAAUUUCUUUCCCGAUAAUUUUUGUACAUUUUUUUGGCUUUACUUUGUAGGACGUACGUAGUGCUGUUUAGGACCAGUUGAAGCGUUAUCAUUUAAUGCUUCGAUUAUUUUUACCGGUUAGAUUAUACUAUUCAACUAACCACCCACUCAACCUUAGGAGGCCCACAUCAUUUUAACCGCACAUUUUUCAAUUCAAAGGCUAAAAAAUUAAUAGCACUUAUAACUUAGUACUAUUGAUUGUAUUCCAGCCUCUAUAUAUAUAUAUAUAUAGAGAGAGAGAGAGAGAGAGAGAGAGAGAGAGAGAGAGAGAGAGUGUGAGUCCGUCCCUGAGUGGUUGGAAUCAGCUUCCCUCUUUGUUUGCUUCCUUGUAUACUUUUUUUUUUUUUUUUUUUUUAAAGAUAGGAUUUUUUUCUUAGCCACUACAAUUUAUCAGUUCACCAAUGUAGGAUACUUGCGGUUUAUACUUCACCCUGUUUGAUAAAAUGCCUCAAAUAAAAUUUUUGUGUUAACCAGUUGCCUCACCAUCACUAUUGUUCAAUUUAUUUGAGGAUUCUCUCCUAUAAAAAAGCAAGCAUAGUUGCUGGAACCAGGAUAGAGUGUUGUAGAAUAGAAGCCCAAAUAUUUAUUACUCUCCCAUGGCUGUUAAAAGCACUUCUGGGGAGCCACUUCUUUCAAAUGGAAGUUUUGACCAUGGCUUCUCCAAAAGUGCUUCUUUGGCCAAACUAUUGCUCAAAUUUUUGAUGUGGGUGUUGUUCAUAACUUGGGUUGCUGCCAUUUACUUCUUUUCAACUGAAUUUGUGCACAAUUUGUUCUCCAAAUGGAUCAAACUUACCGAAGGAACAAUCUUUGGAAUCACAGGUGGAAACUUUACUGAAUUGCUCUUCUUGUUGAAGCAGUGAUAAAAAAAAGAAAAAAAGAUUCAUAUUUGUUUGGUUGUGAAUUGUAUAUGCAGGAAGCAUUUUCCUCGGAUUUAGCGCGCCAAUUCUGAUCAUUUCGUUUCUCGCGUUUAUCUAUGUCGCCGCCUUCUCGAGUGACGAUUUCGGGUAUGUAUUUCUCUCAUUUAAUUGCUUUUACUUUCUUAAAUUUGUAGCCAUCAGGGUAUGCAUCAUGUGUUGCUUAUAUUUUGGUUAACACGAUAUUAGAACUUGUCAUAAGCUUGCUCAAUUUGAAGAGGCCAUGGGUUUAAUUCCCCGUAUCGAACAUUUUGUGGGUUAUUCUUUGUCUCUCAUUUUACUUUACGUGGUAUGAUUCAUCUAAUCUCUACUAUACACGUAAGCAAGGGCGCUAAGAAUUAGUGUAAGGUCGAUCUUUUAUGGACUAAAUUCUCAGGCGAAGUUUAUUUGCUCAAAGGAUUCUAUUGGUAACAGGAAGAAGAAGCAAAAAUUUCCGAGGUUUCGUCUUUGGACAUUCCCUGUUCUUGUUGACGGACCAUUUGGAGUUGUCUCUGCUGCAGAGUUUAUUGGCAUAACACUUUUCAUCGUAUACGUAGUCUGGGCGAUUACUUCUUACAUAAUACAAGCAAGUAACAUGGUUUCAGGGUUUCCAUUUCCUUCAAAAGAGAAAAGGUAUGUUUUGGUUUGAACAAAGUAGAUUCCUAUGCUCUCCUGCAUUUGUGAGAGGGAAAAUUAUUGUGUGAAAAGAAAUUUAAGAAAAUUCCUUUUUCAUUCCUUUAUGGCUCUACAUCUAUUAGAAAUUGGAAGUAUCCGAUGACGAGUUUAACUAAAUUUCACCAAACUAAAGUAAGUGUACUUUUGAGUUGUCAAUAAUGUUUGACUAACUAUAAAGGCCAUAUAACUCUCAUAUGAAGAGUUUAUGCAUUAACAUAUAGAGGAUUUGACUGGUUAAUUGUUUAUGCUUUAAAAGGUUUCUUAUGAUUGAAUGAUUUGAUAGCUUGCAUAUGAAAGCUUCUUUUUAUCUCUCUGUGUAGUUUUCUAAUAAUAUAUUUGUAGUCAGGACCAUGCAAUCACUAGUAUCAAUCAGUUGAGUAAUCAUAUGAUUAUUUUAGACCAGUAAUUUUCUAAUAGAAAGCAUCAUAGUAUCUAAGUUCCUCUUUGAUCUGCAAGCGUCACACUAAAUUCUUUUGGUGAUUAUGUCUGUUUCUAUCUGCAAAAAAUCUUUCUUUCCGCGUCAGGGAAAAAAAAAAGAAGGCAUGUUCAUGUGUUUUAAGGUUUAACACUAUCGCAUACAUCUGAUGAAAUUAUCGGCUGGAGCUUUGUUGAUCAGCUUUUAUGUUUUCUAUACUUCCCAUGCUCAACUUUGUAGAUAAAACAACUUGAACAAUUUGUACUUUUGAUUUUUUUUUUUUUUUUUUUGUUGGUAUAGGAGACAAAGAUAAGUCACUAAACCAGUAAAUGCCAUCUUAUGAUUUUAGUCUUUCUAUGUGCAAAGUAAUCUGUAAAAGUGGAUCUUUUGUUGCAUGAGCAUAAACUGUAAACUCCAGUGUAGAUAAAUCUACUUGCCAAGUAGCUUUAUAGAUGUUGGGAACCCCUUUCCUUAAAUUUGCUUCACUCAAUAUUUUUGCACAAUUUUAGCAGUUGAAAAAUUAUCGUUCUUUUUGCACCUUCUAUACGUUGGCUUAUGAUUAUCCAUUUCUGUAUUAGAAUUUAGUGAUGCUCACUUAUGAAGCUUGUAGUAACCCCAUCUAUUAUUUACAUUUUUCCAAUCUACCUAAUCUCAUUGCUAAUUUAAUUCUUGCAGUUACUUCAUGUUAGAGAUCAUUGGGCUUCGGCUAGGCUCAAUUGGAUUAUUCUGCAUGGUUUUCUUAUUUCUUCCUGUAGCAAGGGGUUCAAUUCUUCUUCGUUUAAUAGAUAUACCAUUUGAGCAUGCGACGAAAUACCAUGUUUGGCUUGGACACCUUACCAUGGCUCUUUUUACGUUACAUGGCUUAUGUUAUGUGAUUUCAUGGUCAUUACAGGGCCAUCUUCGGCGAGAAGUAAGCCUGAAUUAUAUAUUUAGUUGCAUCCCUUUGAAUGCUCAAUCAUAUUUAUAAUUGUCAAGUCCAUGAUUGAUAACAAUAAUAGGAACAAGAGUAUAACAAGAACGGCCCAGUUAUAUGGAUUUCUGAUAGCAGCGAGCUGUAGUUUUAUGGUAGGAAAGGCUUCUUCUUUAAAUAUUUUAGACAAUGGUUGCUCGAACACAUGCAAGCUAGAUAGUUAAUUUUGAGUACGUCGAUUACCUAUCUCGUAAAAUGAUAAUAUAGGAAGGAAAUAGCUCUCUAUUAAACUCUCUUUCGAGAUUAUUUCUAAUUAAAAGACAUCUGGCUUUCCAUGUGCAGAUGCUAGAUUGGAAAGACAUCGGUGUUGCUAACUUUCCUGGAGUAAUUAGCUUGUCGGCAGGUCUCUUAAUGUGGGUGACAUCACUGCAGCCUGUGAGGAAGCAGUUCUUCGAGCUCUUUUUCUACACGCAUCAGCUAUACGUGAUCUUUGUAGUGUUCUUAGCACUGCAUGUCGGCGAUUUUAUUUUCAGCAUGUGUGCUGGAGCAGUUUUCCUCUUCAUCCUUGAUCGUUUUCUGAGAUUCUGCCAAUCCCGAACUAAGGUCGACGUCAUUUCCGCGGCUUGCCGUCCGUGCGGCACAAUAGAAUUGAUACUUUCAAAGCCGCCAAGUAAUAAUUCUUGCUCAUCUUCCAUUUAUUGUCAACUGCCAACUUUGUCCGAGUUCUCUUCUCUUACAUUUCCUAAAAAGCUGUCAUUCACUAAAGAAAACUUAUCCAUGAUCUUGAUUAUGUUAAAUUGGCGCUUUUACAUGUAUAUCCUGCAAAAUCUAUUUACACUAAUACCCCUGUAAAUCGGAAUUUUCAUAGGUGGUUAUAUGUACCAUCUGAAAAUGCCGAUUCUUACCAAAAUGGCCUUCCCUUAACUUGUGUGGUCGGAAAAGUUGAUUUUGUAAUAGAAAGUGGUUUUACUUUACUUAUGGCUUCAUUUUUUUUAUGCAGAUCUUUGUUAUAAUGCUCUGAGUUUUAUUUUCGUUCAAGUACGCGAAUUAUCAUGGUUGCAGUGGCAUCCCUUCAGCGUAUCAUCCAGUCCUUUGGAUGGCAAAUACCAUAUCUCAGUUCUCAUAAAGGUACUCGGUACGUGGACUGGUGAACUACGUGAUCUCAUUUCUAAUAUCACGGAACAGCCACAAAAUGACUCCGAGCCGCAACCUAAUCGAAUAACCGCGUGUGUUGAAGGGCCUUAUGGGCAUGAAUCACCUUACCACUUAAUGUAAGCCUCUUACUUUUGUUACUUAUUGUUGAUUGCUUCUCGCUACUUAUUAUUUUUUCAAGUUCUCCAAAAUUUUAUUUCUAUUCAAUGACAUAGAAUCGAAUGGGGAUUCGAGCGAUUUGCGACCAUCCUUAUUGGGUCCUUAAUAUAUAUAUGCUCAUUUGUUCAACUUGCUAAAAUCGCCGCUUUAAUAAGAAAUUUUAAUGCUGUUUCUUGUGACGGAUUUCUCAUCCAUGCAUUCAUUCUUCACUCUUGUUUAGGUAUGAAAAUCUGAUUCUAGUAGCUGGCGGCAUCGGUAUAUCGCCCUUCUUGGCCAUAUUGAGCGACAUCAUUCACCGGAUCAGCGAAGGGAACCUUUGUUUGCCGAAAAACAUUUUGGUUGUUUGGGCCGUCAAAAAAUCAAAGGAGUUUUCUCUCCUUUCAGCAGUAGAUUUGCGAUCCAUUUCUCCGUCUUUCUUGGAUAAAUUGCAUCUGGAUAUUCAAGCUUUCGUGACUCAAGAAUCAGAACCUCCAUUGGUACUUGACUUCAGCAUUAUUAUCUGUUUCCCUUCUGAAAGAAACAUUUUCUGAUACAAAACCAACUUCCUUGAAUUUUUCUCGCAGGAAGAGGGUAAGGUUGAUGAGAACAUUGAGUUCUCCUCCAUCUGCGUAAAAAAUGGAAGCUGCAUGUCGAGUUUGGUCGGUACAGGAAAUAAUUUCUGGGCUGGAACAUAUGUAAUUCUAUCUACUCUUGGAUUCAUUGUGUUAUUUGGUUUGGUGGAAGUUUAUUACAUCAAACGCUUCGGUAUAUUCGCUUGGUGGUAUCGAGGGCUCUUAUUCACCUUAUGCAUGAUCGCGGGAGUCGUUUUUGUCGGCGGCAUUGUUGUUUUCCUGUGGCAUCGUUCGGAAAAGAGGAACUCGAGCUAUGAGAAUUUGGCGGUCGAUGAUAACAAGAAAAGCAACAUAAGUAUGUGCAAGGAGGCGACGCUAGUUGAUGAGACGAGUAAGGUGAAUCUCGCGAGCUUCCAGACGACUCGAUACGGGUGCAGGCCUGACUUCCAAGGUAAAGUUCAUGGUGGGAUUACAAUGCUAAAGCGUUUUCGCAAACAUGAUAAUGAUUGAUCUUCGACUCGCUCAAGGUUUUAAAGACAAAUGAAUAUUGUUCCACAACAAAGGCCAAGAAACCCCUGAAAUUUAAGAACCUAUGGUUUCCCCUAUUGGCCUAUAGGCCAAGUGAUACAUAUCUACUUUUGCUGAACACUAAAGUAGGCGGCAAAGUGAUGAGAUCUUGUAGCUAAAGGGUUUAACAUAUAGGUUCCUAUAUUGCAGGGGAGCAAAAUGAACAUUUUGAUAUCCGCGAUAUAAUUUAAGCGAAAUUUUAUACAAAAACACAUACAAAGUCAUGUUUAAUCAUGAUCAUCUUCUACUGUUGUAUUCUCUUUCAUAUUAGCGCGCUUCAUUAAAAUGUUUCUUUUUACUUUUUACAGCAAUAUUUACCACCUUCGCGGAACAAAUGGGGCCUGUUGAUAUUGGUGUGAUAGUAUGUGGUCCGCCUGGGCUUCAGUCGAGUGUCGCGAAAGAGUGCAGGUCUCAGAAUCUCAGGGGAAAACGGAGCGCCGCAGUUUUUCACUUCAACAGCCACAGCUUUGAUCUUUAACUACCUUUUAUCUUUCUAGUCUUGGGAGUGUAUGUAAUCUACUCUGUGUAUAUAUAUCUACUCUCUCUCUCUCUCUCUCUCUCUCUCUCUCUCUCUCUGGGUCUGUAUAUUACAGUAUAGUACCAAUACAUUGAGAGGUAAAAGGAUUAGAAUCUUUGGAUUAGUAAUCAAGUUUAUAGCUUGAUUGGUAAAUGAAGUUGAAGUUGAGUGGCAUAUGCUGAAAGAGGCGACUCUCUCUCUCUCUCUUUUAUAUAGAACACUCUAGAGUGCUCUAGAAACAAGUGUUCUCUCUACUUGCUAAUAGAACACUCUAGAGUACUCUAGAAAUAAGUACUCUCUCUCUUUAUGAAAAACUCUAGAAACAAGUGCUCUCUACUUGCUAAUAGAGCACUUUAGAAAGUUCUAGAAAAAAGUGCUCUAGAAUACUCUAGAGUACUCAUGUAUGUAGGUUGGAGCCUAUAAAUAGGUGAGGCCUCCACACCAAGUGGUAGAGUGAAGAGAGAUGAAGUAGUGACGUAAGGUGUGAGUGGUGUGUGAGAGGAAGUUGUGUGAGUUAGUGUGUGAGGCUUGUAGUCUUUUGGGUGUAUAUAUUAGUGAGUGUGUGAGUUAGAAUAAUUUAUAUGUGAGAGUUAUUUUGUCUGUAAUAAAGAGAGUUUUAUUAUUAGUUUGGUACGCCAAUAUUCUACAUAUGCUUGGAUUGCUUUGACAUUCAUGCAAAUGGAUUGCUUUUCGGGCUCUCGUGAAGUCCGAGCUCCGAUCACUAGCGAUGCGCUCCAUCGCGAUUUCGGCUGACAGAAUGCUGGUGGUUACGGCAAAAAUUAUGUAUACAAUGAACCUCAUUUCAUUCUUAUUUGAAAAUUUUCAAGUCCUAAAAAGAAGAAAGCCUCAUGACACCACAUCCUAAGAUGUGGGUCUAAACAAGCACAAUGUUUUAGUUUUCUCCUCCACUGUAACCAAGCUCCAUUAAAGAGCUCCAUUUGUGUUUUAUAUAAGAUUUUCCCUUUAUAUAAUGUAAUGCAACCUACAAGGUGGAAUAUAGGCCAAGCCACUUAUCUCCCUCCACUACUUUAGCCAAAAUGCUUUUGUCCUGUUACCAACCCAUAUCAACACUUAAAUUAAAACCCCUAAUCCCACUAAGUAGAGUCACAAAAUAUGCAUCCUUUUGCAUUAAUAAAACAUGAACCCAUCUCACACUCAAAACACAUACACAAUCACCCUUUGGAUUGUCAACAUGCAUGGCUCUUCUUUUUGGCCCUUUUUUUUUUUUUUUGUAUAUCUAAUCAAAGCUCCUGGAGUGGUCUCCACGCUUUAAUGAAGUCAAUCCCUUGUGGAGGCUUACUUUGUGGCUUAAAAAGGAACCAAAAAAAAAAAAAGAGAAGAGGAUAAGAUGAUAAAAGAGAGGAAUGUGUUCAGCUCGUGGUACAGUUGGUAAAGAUAUUCAGCUUAAAAAAAAAAAGAAAAAACAUUCGUAAGAUGACUAUAUCUUCAAUUUGUUUCUUAGUAAUUAUUUUUGUGCACAAUAGUAGAAUUAGUUAAUAUAACUAUUAAGAAUAUCAACGGAUAAUAUGAUAUCGGAGCCGGUCCUAAACUCAUCUAAUCUACGUUAUGUAGGUGAAGGAGACGUUAAGAUUAUUUCUAAGCCGUUCAGUGAGAUCAUACUUAGUAAGCACGCUCCAUUCAAUGAGACGUUAUGUUAGUGUUUGCGCUAAUAAUAUCAACUCAAUAAAUGAAAAACGGAGUAAAAUAACACCUCUAUGUUUUAAAGGUGAAAGAAAAUGCUAAGGCUAUAUAUCUAUAUUAUUUUUGUAAAAUUUUUGACAUAAAAUUAUGCAAACUUUGCCCCUCUAUUUAUUGGCUACAUGCCAAAAAACUUGUUAUAGAAGGUAGAAUGAUACAAAUUUUGUUACAAAAGCCUUCGAGCAGAGCUUUUUCAGGAUCUUUAUACUCCUCUUAUCAAACCCAACCCAAACAUUUUGCCAUUGAAAUUGUAACAAUCCGGCUCACUAGUAAUAAUAACUAGUUGAGCUCAAACCACUGGCCAAAAAUGCUAAAACUCAUUAAUUUUUACUAGAGCCCUAAUUCAUUAUAUUCUCGUUCACAAAUUCUUUUCCAUCCGAUAUGGAACUAUUGGGGCGUUACAGGCUCUUUCUGUUUAGACCCUAAGGUUCUGCACAAGUCUAAACUCAAAUUGUACAUAUACAUAGAUCAGAAUUAUCAGACGCGCGAUAUGAGAUUCGAGAUUCGAAAGGUGGCUCCUACCAAACCCGUAGUAUAGCAAAACUACUGCCUAAAAAUGCUUAAGUACAGUUACUAUUAUUAGGAUUCUAAACCAUUAUAUUUCCAUUCAUAAAUCCUUUUUUCGUCCGAUAUUGGACUAUUGAAAUGUUACAAAAAUACAAAUUAAUAGUUUUAGGACUCUUGAACGAACAUGAUCUGUCGAGACCCUACCCAUGGUCUUACCAUUAGAAUACCAACUAGUGGUUUGGCUAAUGUAGUCAGGGUGAUUAAAUUAUGAACUAAUACGAUUAGAAUACGCAAUUAAUGUAUUUUAUAUUAACUAAAAAAGGAAGGUCAUUUGAGUGUGUAUGACUGUAUGAGGACCAAAUUUAGGUACAUCCAUGUAAUACCAUGCACAUGUCACAAUAAUUAACCUAACUUUAAAGUGAUCCUCAGGUGAGGACACUUUAGUAGAAAAUAUGGACUCAGAUGAGCCUCCAACAACCCAUUUCAUAUGCCUCUAGUGGCUAUUGUGCAUUCUCCAAUCCUUUUCUCUUAUGUUAGGGUUUAUAUCAUUGUGAGUUUUUUUUUUUUUUAAAAAGAGGGAAAACUUCAAAUACCCCCCUUGUGGUUUUGCUCUUUCUCACUUUAGUACCAUGUGGUUUAAAGUGUAUCAAGUUAGUACCCUGUGGUUUUGCACUCGCUCACUUUAGUACCCUGUGGUUUAAAGUGUAUCAAGUUAGUACCCUGUGGUUUCGCACUUUCUCACUUUAGUACCCUGUGGUUUAAAGUGUAUCAAGUUAGUACCCUGUGGUUUCGCACUCUCUCACUUUAGUACCCUGUGGUUUAAAGUGUUUCAAGUUAGUACUCUGUGGUUUCGCACUUUCUCACUUUAGUACCAUGUGGUUUAAUAUUUUAUUAAGAAAAAAUUGAAACCACAUAAUACUAACUUGAUACAAACAUAAAACCACAUGCUAUUAACUUGAUACAAAAAUAAAACCACAGAGUACUAACUUGAUACGCUUUAAACCACAGGAUACUAAAGUGAGAAAGUACGAAACCACAGGGUACUAACUUGAUACAUUUUAAACCACAGGGUAUUAAAAUGAAAAAGUGCGAAACCACAGGGGUUUUUUGAAGUUUUUCCAAAAAAAUAAACUAAAAGGUGAAAAAUAUAUGGACGCCCCCUCAACUAUAUUCCAUUUUGAAUAUGCCUAUUUAAUUGUAGAGUUUUUAAAAUUGAAUUAUAUGUUAUAGUUAGUCAAGUGUAAAACUUUAUUAAAUUUGAUUGCUCUAUUAGCUGUUAGUCAUUGAUUGCUUCAGUUUUAUUUUGUAAACGUGAUUAAAACUACAAAAUUGACAUGAUGUAAUCACAAAGUAGUAUGAUAAAAAUCCACAGUUUAAUUGACUAAGGUCACUUAAUUUUCUUUUAAAAAACUAAGGGCCUCAUUAAUUUGGUAUUGUUGCUUUUAUUUAUUUUUUAAAAAAAAUACAAUUUCUAUGAAAUAAAUGUAAAAGGGAUUGAUGAAUUAUUUACAGUCUUUUUUGUUCUAAAAUUUUUUAAUACAAGCUGUCAUUAAUUUGUUACUUAACCAAAAUACAAUAAUAAGAAGAAAGUUAUUGCGCCUGUACAAAUAAAAAAAUGACAACGACACCAAACAAGGCCAAGAGGUUACAAAUUAAUGCGAGAAAAUAUGGGACAAUUUUAAAGUUGAGGGAAGCCAUUUCAAAAUGGCAUAUAUAUAUAUAUAUAUAUAUAUAUAUAUAUAGUUGAGGAGUACUCCACAAACUUCUUACCCUAUUUAAAGGUUUCCUCUCCCACCACACUUUGAUAUAACUAUAUAAGAGAGAGAGAGAGAGAGAGAGAGAGAGAGAGAUCACUUGCAUGCAAAGAAACUCAAAAAUGGGUGAUCAUGAGGAGAUCCAAGAGGAGUAUGAGUUGAAUGAAGUAGAAGAUAACUUGCAUGGUUCAGUGGGGAGUAGGCUCUCUCUAUUUGCUAAGGAAUUUGGUUUUGGGAGGGGCAAAUGGGAUAGCAACAUUGCUUUGAAAAUCCCAAAAGAUUGUUACCAUGGCCUUGUUAUACAUCCCAAUGGAAGGUAAGAUAAUCAUAAACACCUUUUUUUUUUUUUUGGGCGUAAACUAGAGCUUUUCUACUCUUGCUUUUCAUAUAACUUCUCUACUUUCAAAAGUAGUAGUCAACGUUGACGAUAAAUCUUUGAGACCAAAAUUUUAGAACUUUUGUUGUAGGGAAUGCAAAAAUAAGAUUCUGAACUUUUGCAUUUUUACAAUAACUUUCGCUAGACAGAAUGCUAUUAGUGCUUCUAACUUGCUCUCGGCUUAAAAAUAUGAACAUAAUUAUAUGGCCAACUCUAAAAUAACAAUAAUUAAUCGAAUGAAGGUAUAUUGAUUUAGAGGCCAACCUUAUGAGCUAACAUGGAACUUAAGUUAAUAUUGCAAAACUUUAGACGUAGCUAGUUUUGAUUUCAGUCCCUUUUAUUUUUACAUCUAGUAUUUUCAGAUGUAAAUCUUUAGACUACGUAGAUGAUCGUCUGUUAUCUAUUUUUGUUACGUUAUUUUUUCGGACCUACUUUUGUUACUUAUGGAAGUUUGUAGACCGAAUCUCUCUAGUGAUUCGUAGUAAGCUUUAGUUUUAUAGAUAUUGAAAUUCAGUUUGAUUUUAGUUGAAAUUCAAUUUCCUAGUCUCAUCUUUUGACUAUUUGAUUUUAGUGAAAAUUUGAUAAUCAUCUUUUUGCUAGUUUUCGUAUGAUUCUGUAGCCUUGCAUAUUUGCUAGUUUAGCAAGUAUGCGGCGUCUGUUACACAUCGGGUUCGGGGCAUGACAGAGAAAUAGUAUCAGAGCCGAAUACCAGCCAGAAGUGUGAAAGCUAAGUGCUACGCGGGACAAAGUGCUACACCAACAGAUUUGGUGGGAGCCACCUCUUGAACCCAUAGAAUCUCGAUCACAUCGCUUGGUAAUUAUGGUCCUGGUCUGUCUGUCUAUGAUCUGGUUUGGACCCGACGAGAACGUCAGGAUCUAAACAAGGAGAGUUUGUAACGCCCCCAAUAGUUCCACAUCGGAUGGAAUACUGAUUCCGAUCAGUUUAUAUGAGACCUACACGUUAGUAAUAAUAACCCGGCUUAAGCAUUUUGGGCAGGUGGUUGGGACUAACGAGUUAUUAUUGCUAGCGGGUCGGGUUGUUGCAGUAUGAAUAUUAAUGAGUUUUUUUUUUUUUUUAUUAGAUGGUACAGGAUGUGGGUGAGCAUGAUAUUCGUGUGGUCCGUCUGCUCCACCUUCGUCACGCCUCUGGAGUUCGGCUUCUUCAGGGGGCUGCCGGAGCACCUGCAAGACCUCGACUGCGCGCAGGCCGUCUUCCUCGCCGACGUCGUCCUGCAGUUCUUCGUCGCCUACAGAGAUGUUCAUACUUUCAAACUGGUUUACGACCGCAAAUGCAUCGCCAUGCAGUGAGACUUUUCACUUUAUAAACUAAAAAAAAUAAAAAGAUAAAAAUAGUAAUAAUACGCGUUUAAUAUAUACAUGUCCAGUAAGAAAACAGAUUUAUGUUGAAAAUUAAAUAUAUUUUUUGCUUAAAUUUAGAACUCGUGUCUCUAACUCUAAUUAAACUGGUAUACAUAGACACCUAAAAAUAGGUUAAAAGCCUCCCGGGAGAAUUUUAAAAAUUAAUUAAAGAAAAUAGAAACAGUGUGCUAAAAGAUUGAUUAGUGGUGCUAAUAUUUUUUUCCCCUCACCUUUUUUGUUCUUUUUCUUUUUUUGUACAAAGCGAAUCCUUGUAGGCUCUAAUUUACUCUUCAAAAUUUUUGAAAUAUUUUGUAUUUCUCUAUUUUUAAAAAGAUAUAACUCGUGUAUAUUCCUUCAUUGUUCAAAAAUAAUCCGCUGUUAGUAUCCGUUAAGUCAUCUCGAGUUAAAUCCGGAUUAAAUUCUUCCGGAUUAAAAAAAAUAUAUCAAAAUAUCUCUUUUGUUUCUAACUUAAAAACAAAUAUAAAAAAUUUGGUGACGAUAAAAAGAUAUAUUUAAAAAGCGAAAAUCAAAAUAUUUUUUUUUGCCCCUUAUUUAUGGGCAAAUAAGAAAAAUUGGCGACGUCACGAGAGUAUAUUUGCAAAGAUAAAAUAGUAAUUUUAUAGACAUAACAAUUGAUUCUAACUGUUCACUAGACUGUUUGAUUUGUUGGAAAAGCGUGUAAAAAAAUCUUUCAAGAAAAAAAUUUUUCAAUGAAAAACCUCUUUUUUAGUUUUUUUUUUUGUUUGUUUGGUUUUAAAAAAAUUAAGGUUUUCGGAAAACUUUUUUUUCAAAUUUUAUGAAAAACUAGCAUUUUAGCUUUUCUAAAAAAAAAAAUCUGAAAAACAGAAAUAUUAAUUUGCCAUGAAGUUCUGAAAACAAAUUUUCAAAAUAGUUAGUUUUCCGUGAAAAACUUAAAAAGAGAUUUUCUAUAAAAAACUUUUUUCUCAGAAAUUUUUUUUCCACGUUUUUUCCACAAACCAAACACCCCCCUAACGCAAUUUACUCUAGGAGUACAUUUGAAAUAACUUAAAACAUUAAAAAAAUAUUUUUAAUAUUAGCCUUCUAAGAAAGGUAAAUAAAAAAGUCACUAGUUUUUUCCAAAGCAAACAAGCAAUUGUGCCUUUAUUUUAACAUAACAUUUCUUGAUACAACAAGUAACUGAAAAAAAUAGAAGGUCGUUCUAACAGUGCAUUACAGUAAAACUAAAAGAUUAUAGUAUAAGAAGCCCGACUACUACACUAUCGAUACUAUUAAGCACUUGGCACUAUCGAGUUUUCCACAGUUAGAUCUACCCCUUCGACAAUUUUCACCCGUUAGAUCAUACUAUGCAACCAACAACUCUAUGGAACUACUGUCAUCCUAACUGCACAUCUAUUCAUAUCCAUGCAUCUAAGGGCCAAAAAUCUAGUAGCACAAAGCGCUUGAUUCUAGUAAUAGUAUAGGAGCCUAAUUCACAUUACAAGAACAAUUCGAUAUGGAUCCCAAAUAGAAAAAAAAAACACAUAAUAAGUAGAUAUUUCAGAACUGCGUUUCGAUCUGAAUCCACCGGCCAAGUUUGAAGCAUGGCUGAACCGCGCCAUUGAUGGCUAACAAGAAUUGCUGAUGGAUUUCUCUUUCUUUGUUUCUGGUCAGCUACCUGAAAGGAAGCUUUGCUCUCGACCUUCUCGGCUGUUUCCCUUGGGAUGCCAUCUACAAGGUAAUAACACAAGAUCAAUCUUAUUACCCAGAUAAAUAAACAAAUAACUAAAUCGAAUCUUUAGUUGUAGAACACAUCGUAAAGUUUUACGCAAGUCACUUAGCUUUAAUUGUUGAAUUUGGAUCAUUCCAUGCUAAUUUAUUCAUUUUCUUGAGAGGAUGGAGGAUAAAGCUGAUGUAAUAGUCCUAUUAUAUCGUCUCGGAGAGAUAAUAUGAGACAAGUAACUUUUUAGUUGCCAUAUCACAUCUUGAUUAUUACUACAGGGGCUAAUGUGUCAGGCAUGGAUUGACUUGUGCGGUACAUUACCAACAUAUCAGUAGUAAUUAGAGAUAUGCAUUUGCGAAAGAUGAUCUAUCGAUAGUCAGAAUAAUUUUGAGGACGACUUCGCUGUUAAAUCACCUUUUACAUCAUCACCAAGUUAUCUCCCAGAUAGUAAGUUGCAUUAACUAUCGGAUUGUCCCUCUAUUAGAAAACUUAAAUUAUUUGACAAAGCAUCCUGAUUAAAACAUAGAUUUUAAAAAAAUAACGNUUUUUUUUUUUUUUUUUUUUUUUUUUGUACAAAGCAAAUCCUUGUAGGCUCUAAUUUACUCUUCAAAAUUUUUGAAAUAUUUUGUAUUUCUCUAUUUUUAAAAAAAAUAUAGCUCUUGUAUAUUUCUUCAUUAUUCAAAAAUAACCUGCUAUUAUCCGUUAAUUCAUCUCGGAUUAAAUCCAGAUUAAAUUCUACCAGAUUAAAAAAAAAAAUCAAAAUACCUCUUUUGUUCCUCACUUAAGGACAAAUAAAAAAAUUUGGUGAUGGUAAAAAGAUAUAUUUAAAAAGAAAAAAAUCAAAAUAUUUUUUGAUGUAGAGCUAUUAUGCUAUCGGAAGUAUAGAGGACCUGAUGUUUCCAACUUUUCAACCAUUGGAUUAAAAAUUAUACGGUUGAAAUGAUUGCGGUCCUUCCAGAAUUGAGUAGUACCUCUAGGGUUGAGUGGUCCCAUAGGUUAAUAGUACUAAUCUAAAGAUUAAAAAUGAUUAAAGGGAUUGAUCUAAGGACCAAAAAUUAGGAAGUACCAGAUUCUAUAUACUUCCGAUAGCAUAAUAGCUCUACUCAUAUUUUUUUGUCCUUUAUUCAAGGACAAAUAAGAAAAAUUGGUGACGUCACAAGGGUAUAUUUGUAAGAACAAAAUAGUAAUUUUAUAGAUAUAACAACUACUUCUAACGGUUCUAUAAGGAACUGUUUGAUUCGUUGGAAAAGCGUGAAAAAACAUUUUCAGGAAAAAAAAUUUUCUAUGAAAAACCUCUUUUUUAGUUUUUUUCUUUGUUUGGUUUUUAAAAAUAAGCGUUUUCCGAAAACUCUUUUUUUCAAAUUUUAUGAAAACUAGCAUUUUAGUUUUUCUGAAAAAAAUCUGAAAAACGAGAAUAUUAAUUUCCCUUGAAAUUCCAAAAACAAAUUUUCAAAAUAGCUAGCAUUUUACUUUUUUCCACGCUUUUUCGACAAACCAAACACCCCCUAACGAAAUUUACUCAAGGAAUAUAUUUGAAAUAACUUAAAAUAUUAAAAAAAUAUUUUUAAUAUUAACCUUCUAAGAGGGUAAAUAAAAAAGUUGCUAAUUUUUUCAAAAGUAAAUAAGCAAUUGCACCUUUAUUUUAACAUAACAUUUCUUGAUACAAGAAGCAACCGGAAAAAAAAAAAAAAAGAAAAAAAGUCAUUCCAACAGUGUAUUACAGUAAAACUAAAAGAUUAUGUUAUAAGGAGCCAGGCUACUACACUAUCGAUAGUAUCAAGCACUUGGUACUAUCGAGUUUUCCGCAGUUAGAUAUCGAGUUUUCGCAGUUAGAUCUACCCCUUCGACAAUUUUCGCCCGUUAGAUCAUACUAUGCAACGAACAACUCUAUGGAACUGCUAUCAUCCUAGCUGCACAUCUAUUCAUAUCCAUGCAUCUAAGGGCCAAAAAUCUAGUAGCACAAAGCGCUUGAUUCUAGUAAUAGUAUAGGAGCCUAAUUCACAUUACAAGAACAAUUCGACAUGGAUCCCAAAUAGAAAAAAAAAACCAAAAAAAAACACAUAAUAAGUAGAUAUUUCAGAACUGCGUUUCGAUCCGAAUCCACCGUCCAAGUUUGAAGCACUGCUGAACCGCGCCAUUGAUGUCGAACAAGAAUUGCUGAAGGUUUUCUCUUUCUUUGUUUCUGGUCAGCUACCUGAAAGGAAGCUUUGCUCUCGACCUUCUCGGCUGUUUCCCUUGGGAUGCCAUCUACAAGGUAAUAACACAAGAUCAAUCUUAUUACCCAGAUAAAUAAACAAAUAACUAAAUCGAAUCUUUAGUUGUAGAACACAUCGUAAAGUUUUACGCAAGUUACUUAGCUUUAAUUGUUGAAUUUGGAUCAUUCCAUGCUAAUUUAUUCAUUUUCUUGAGAGGAUGGAGGAUAAAGCUGAUGUAACAGUCAUAAUAUAUCGUCUCGGAGAGAUGAUAUGAGACAAGUAACUUUUUAGUUGCCAUAUCACAUCUUGAUUAUUACUACAUGUGCUGAUGUGUCACGCACAGAUUGACUUGUGCGGUACAUUACCAACAUAUCAGUAGUAAUUAGAUAUAUGCAUUUCCUAAAGAUGAUCUAUCGAUAGUCAGAAUAAUUUUGAGGACGACUUCGCUGUUAAAUCACCUUUUACAUCAUCACCAAGUUUAUCUCCCAGAUAGUAAGUUGCAUUAACUAUCGGAUUGUCCCUCUAUUAGAAAACUUAAAUUAUUUGACAAAGCAUCCUGAUUAAAACAUAGAUUUUAAAAAAAUAACGAAAGAAAGGACAACAACAGAUUAAUUGUACUAAUAAAUGAAAAUGACACUUUUGUCUCUAAAUACCUAAACUACCAAAAUUUUAUUCUCAAAAAUCAACCUCACAUUGGAUAUCAAGUAAAACAAGAAUCUUGGAAGAACUUGAAACUCCGAACCUCUUACUCUCACCAUGUAGUAAAAUAACCAUGUCUCGAAGCUCAAAGUACCAUUAACAAUAUCUUGACAUGCUUUCAUAUUCAACAGCACACGCAUUUUCCACCUAUCCUCUGAGAAAUUUUAAUGUAGUUGCCGAAUCAGCUUCUACAUCAUCACCAAGUCAUCUCCUAAAGAUGACGUGACACUUGAAUCAACAGACAACUAUCAAAGCGUCCCUUGCUACCAAAAAUUUCAGUCAUGUUUGACAAAGCAUUCUCAAUUGAAAUAGAAAUUAAAGUCGUGAUCCAACUGCAGCAUAUUUAAGUUCAAUGACCUAAAUAAUUACCAUUACAAAAAAAAAAAAAAAAAAAAAAAAAAAAAAAAAAAAAAAAACUGAAACUUAUUCCACUACUUAUUGUCCUCACUUUAUGAUUAGGGAACGGGUCGCAUAGAGCUCAUCCGGUACUUUCUAUGGAUCCGCAUAUACCGAGCGAGGAAGAUCAUGGACUUUUUCAAGAAGGCCGAGAAGGACAUACGCAUAAACUAUCUAUGCACGCGGAUUGCGAAGCUGAUCAUGGUGGAGCUCUACUGCACCCACACUGCCGCAUGUGUGUUCUACUACCUAGCUACCACCGUGCCCCCGCCGCAUGAGGGCUCCACGUGGAUCGGGAGCUUAACAUUGGGGGAUUAUAGGUAUAUCAACUUUAGGGACAUGGAUUUCGCUACGCGAUACAUUACCUCACUCUACUUCGCCAUUGUCACCAUGGCCACCGUCGGUACGUAUUGGGUACUAGAGUUUUGAUAGAAGACAAAGAUGUAUGGGUAGCUGCACUAUCAUGAUAUUGCAACUUGGUUACUGUACUUUUUACUUGAACAUAAUUAGUUGCAAAAGUACUUUUCUCGGAGAGUGGCUUCCACUUUGAAGUCACUGCAAAGAGGGUUAAAAGGUCAUUUUACAAUCAAUGGUGGGGUUAAGUGCAUUUUAUCUGAAAGGAACCAAUUUGCAAAUAUCGGGACAGUGCAAGGACUACCCAUACAUUUUACGCACUCUUAUCGAUGCCUCAUGCUUGUUCUCACACUCACACAGAACAAAAGGAACGGUGUUUGUUUGAUCUUUGGUUCCUGAAAAUGUUUCUCUGCCCCAAAAAAAUAACAAUCAAAUAUUUAGUAAAUGACUAGUACGUUACCUUAGCAGAGAGUUAAAAUAAAAUUUCAAACCCUUGAAGCAAAUGUUUCAAAUCAAAACUUUUCUUUCUACAUAGGUAGGUCAAAAAGGCACAAACAGUUUUGCUUAUCCUAGCAUCUCUACUUCAGGAAGUAGCAAUUGAAUAUUUGACAAAUAAAAGGUUUGGAGCCUCUGCUAUGGUGAGGAAGCUGAAUAAUAGAGCCCGAGAAGCAAAAGCUUCAAUUUGAAGUUUGUGCUUCUAGUACAGAAAGAAGCAAUUGGGGGUUUCACUAAGAAAACUAUUGAUGUUUCUUUGAGCGGCUCUAACAAGAAAUUUUGCAGAAGCUCCAGCAAUGGUAAAUGGACCUGAAACUGAGUUUGUCAAUUUGUUGCAUAGGUAGGGCCAAUUGUGCGUAAUUUUGGAUCUAGGUUGAAUCCCAGGCCAGUUUACAUCCAGUUCAACAUAUGUUUUGUUAUCUUGACAAAAUUUAAGUCAAGCCUAAUUUAUAAAUCUGAUUCCUUGUGUUAAUUGCCAAAAUGUAGGCUAUGGUGACAUACAUGCGGUGAACAUGAGAGAGAUGAUAUUCAUUAUGAUCUACAUCUCAUUCGAUAUGAUACUUGGUGCGUACCUGAUUGGUAACAUGACUGCGCUGAUCGUAAAGGGGUCAAAGACUGAGAGGUUCCGCGACAAGAUGACCGAUCUUAUCAAGUACAUGAACAGGAACAAGCUUGGCAAGGAGAUCAGGUCCCAGAUCAAAAACCACCUCCUACUACAUUAUGAAAGCAGCGACACCAAAUAUAGUGUAGUUGAAGAUAUUCCAGUCGCCAUCCGAUCAAAGGUGGUAAUUUCCCUGUAUGGAUGAUGAAGUGUUAGAGAAUAACAAUACUUGCAUCACUAAUCCCGAGAUGCAUUUAGUUGUAGCUCUUAGGAUUAAAAUUAUAUGAAAAAAGAGAUCUAAUUUGCAACUUAGGUUUCUUGUUACAUUUUCUUUGUGAGAUUUUCAUUCGCUUCUUGCAGACGCAGAAGAAAAAUAAAAGAAACAUUUUUUAGUAAAAGGUCUGAAUCUGCACAGAAUAAAACCCUCCUAGGUCGAAAACAUUAGAUUGUACUCUUAUGUUCAUUGUUUGUUGAGAAAAAAUAUGGAAAGAAAUACACACCAAAUUUACAACAAAUAUUUUUAGAAACUCAAAGUGUAUAAGUUCAUAAUAUAAUACUGGAUAGGUUUUGUUACUUUUUAAAUAUUUGAGUAUUCAACUUAACAACAAAGAUAUGUUUAACCAACUUUAACUUUGCUUUCUGAAUCUUACAUUUUGACAGAUCUCCCAGACGUUAUUCAUGGACAUUGUACAAGAGGUCCAACUUUUCAAAGGGUGCUCAGAUGAGUUCCUAAAUCAGAUUGUAAGAUGAAAUAUUCCUCAAGAUUUUGCUGUAGUUUGUACUUGCUCUCAAAGAUGCAUUCGCAUUACCUCUUAUGAGUAUAUAAUGUGGUUUCUCAUAGGUGAUGAAGUUAAAUGAAGAGUUCUUUCUACCAGGAGAAGUAAUCCUAGAGCAAGGAAGUGCGGCCGAUCAAAUCUACAUCGUAUCCCAUGGAAUUUUGGUACUAUUUUCUCAAAAUGUUCUAUGAUAUUGACAAAUCAUUGGUUCCAAGUAGAAGGUUUGGUGUUUAGGGUCUGUUGAUGGUCAUAAACCAAAGCAAUCAUAGUUUGGGAAUGUUUUCCUAUCAUAGGAGGAAGUGGCUAGUGGAAAAAGUGGAUGCGAGGAAUCAAUCGCAGAACUGAAGCCUUAUGAUGUGUUUGGCGAUGUCGCCGUGCUAUGCAAUACUCAACAACCCUACACUGUUCGAGUUUGCGAGCUAUGCAAGCUUCUACGGAUUGAGAAACAGUCAUUAACGAGCAUCUUUCAACUUUACUUCAAUGACAGUCGCAAAGUACUUAGCAAUCUACUAAAGGUAUGAUGUUUUUCAGUUCUUUUUGCUGCAAAAAGUAGAAUACAUUGUUUUUAAUUUUUAGUUUUAAAGUAUGAUUCUAUGGGCAUUUUCUGCAUUUAAGGGAAAAGGGACUGCUUUAAGAAUCAAGCAUUUGGAGUCAGAUAUCACAUACCUGAUUGCAAAGCAAGAGGCUGAGCUUGUAUUGAGAGUCAACAAUGCUGCUUAUCAUGGUGAUCUGUACGCUUUGAAAGGCCUCAUCAAUGCAGGAGCAGAUCCAAAUAAAAUCAACUAUGAUGGAAGAACGGCACUAGUAUGUUCAUUUUCUCAGCUAACAAAUUACUUAGCACUCUACUGAAAUUAGUUAAAGAGAGUGAUGCACCUUCAUUGGGAUUUCCAUUCCACAAUUACACUUUUAGCAUAAAAUAAAAAUGAAUUUAAGUUCCCCAAAGUUUGUUCUGCAGACUAGAUAGAAGGGGCACAUGAAUUCAUUUAGUUGUGUCAUUGAGCAUGGAUAAGUAUAUUACAUCAUAGAAAAGUGAACACACUGAUUCAUGUAAAUGACCACUUGAAACUUACAACCAUUUUUCAUUGUUGAAAUGGAAAAAUUGAAAAUAAGUAUGGAGAUUCGCAAUCAUACAGCAGUAUUAGAUAAUUCACUAUCUAUUUUUCUUCUUUGGCAAAUAGCAUGUGGCGACAAGCAAAGGACAUGAAGAGAUUGUGAAGUUCCUUGUUCAAAGAGGAGCUAAUGUCAAUUGCAUAGGUAGGAUAAGACAAAGCCAAAAUAACUUUUUUUUUCCCUUUAUUUAUCUCAUUAUGUUCAUCAGUAUUCAUGGAUACCCCAUAAUCGUACAGAUAAAUUUGGGAGCUCACCAUUGUUGGAAGCUGUAAAAGCUGGACAUGAUAGAAUUGCUGCUCACCUUGUAAAGAACAGAGCAAUUCUGAAUUUGGAAGAUAAUGGAAGUUAUCUCCGUAAAAUUGCAACCGAAAGUAAUAUCAGCACUCUCCGAAGAUUAUUAGAAUAUGGAGUUGAUCCAAACACCAAAAAUUAUGAUCUGAGGACACCACUUCACAUUGCAGCAGCAGAGGGACUACACCUUGUUGCUGCAGUAUUGUUAGAAUUCGGAGCAGAUGUUCUUUCUAAAGAUAGGUAUUGUACUUUGCUCAUUUCCCAUAUUCAAAACCAAGGAGCAAAUCUUAUUGUUAUUUAGCUCUAUUUUCUUCUACAUUUUUUAGCACAUUUUAGUGUCUAGUAACUUUCAGCUUCCAAACAACAAGACAUAUAAAGGGCAAUUUCAGAACACCUCAAGUUUCUUAUGUUUUGUGCAAUACUAGAGCUACUUGCUUUCUAUAAAGAUGAUAUUUAUUCUGCGUUUUUGACUUGUUGGCUAUAGAUGGGGAAACACACCGCUCGACGAAGGACGGAGAUGCGGGAGCAAGCCGCUACUGCAGAUUUUGGAGCAGGCUAGAGCAAACCUUACAUGCAACCGAUGAUAAGAUGGCUGCGCAAGAGAAGCCUCAUCCUCCAAGAACCAAUUAAUUGUUCUACAAAUUCAUCUGCUGUAAUGACUAAUCAAAACUUGUUCUUUUCCUACACCUCCAAAGACAAUAAUCUUCCCACCACUCUCAAUUAUUAAUCCUCCUGGAAAGGAAAUAAGUUCAUUUGAUCUAUUUUGGCCAAUCAAAAAUAUGAAACCAGUGAAAUAAUCCAAUAAAACAGAGUAUAUUACCCUAUUGAUUCAACGAUGUGAAAUGUUUUGGUUCAUAAAGUGCCAAUUCACAGGCCUAGCCAAACUCUUAUCACCACAAAUUCUGAACGAAUAAAGAAAUAUUUGCUCGAAUACCAACAGUAAACAGGUUGAGUCCAAAUUAAUAGAUAGAAACUCUUUGCUGCUGCUAGAAUAAACCACUAAGAUCUAAAUAGCUCUAAGUUGCAGAUAUAUAAAGCCUUUCAAGAUGAGGAGCUAUAAUUUAGUACUAUCAACUAGGAUAGAUAAGCACCAAUCUUGAAAUUUCAGAAUAUAUAGGUCGAAAGUAGAGAGAAGUCUUCAUGUAACAGUUAUGAGAAUGUGGGAAGUAUCACAAGGCAAUAAAAAAUCAGCAUACACGCUAAAAGCCAUUAAAAUUGUAGUUCUUUUGCUACCUAUUCUCCCUAAAAUGUUCUUAACCUUAUAUAAACUCACAUCACACUGCAUGUCAACUUUUCAUUCGCUUGUAAUACUACCUGUAUUUCAUUACAGUAUAUCCUUCCGUUCUCCAAUAAAGCAAUCUAAACUUGCAACACCAGAACUUGGAAAUGUUUGGGAAAAUAUUACCUGAUUGUAACAUCUUUCAUUAGAAAGUCACUAUACGUCUUAAACAUGGAUUUCCUCACCGGUACACCACCUUGUGCAGGUCUGCUAUGUAGUCUGCCGACAUCAGUACAGACUCUAGGCUGCUGAGAGCUUGCCAACAUGUUGCAUUCUGCUAGAGGUAUUCCACAAUGGCAGAAAGCGUUGGGGGAACGAACUUGCUCAUCGAAGUGGUGCGGAGACAGUAUUCAAUCCAAAUCCGAAAAAUAACUUAAACUCAUGUAAUCCUUUUCCCAGUUACUGUCAAAUUCCAUUACAAUUUUCUACUUCAUUUUUCUUCUCCUUCACACCCACGGCUUGAACCCCCCGCAGCACUCUAAACUCUAGUCACUUCUCUUGACGCUCAUCACUACUGUCAAAGCUCUUCUCAGGACUACGGCACAACUGUGAAUCACCAAAGAAUCUUUGCAAAAGCAUUAUAGAAGCAUCAUCAAAAGCCUGAGCUCCAGCGUAAUGCUUAUACCAUGCAGGAAGCAUCACAAGCCAAAAAAAGCUUGGCAUAGCAUAAAAAUCCCCCGACAUCAUACUUCUUUCAGCAGUCAUUCUGUUAAAAUAGCCCAAACAUACUCUUUUUGGCACUUAUUCCUCCCAAAAUUUCCUACCUCAAUAUCAUAUCACAUUCACAUAUAAAUUUUUCAAUAGCUCGUGAUACUAAUUACAUUAUAAAUCAUUCAAAUGUAAGUUGAUAGUAAUAUUAACAAAGCAGAAAUUACUAUUGACAAGUAAUACAUUGGAUUUUAGCAAAUAUUCACGUGAUAAACUUGAUCGGUUUUAAUGAAUCUACUUUGUCGCUAAUAAUUUCUACCCGCUAAUAUCACUGCCCAUAUAUGAGGAUUUCUCUAAUUCGAAAGGUCACAACAUGCGAUUCCAUAACUUGAAAUGUAUGAGUUGAUAUAAUGUGAUUGUUAUAGCCAACCAACACCUCCCAUAAAACUACUGAAUAUAACCAUCCAAAACACCGUUCUCUAUCAGCUUUAAGCUUUUUUGAGAUAAACUGUUGUUUUAUAUGGGAUCAGAACAGGUCCUGUUCUGUGUUCGAAUCCCAUCAAAACAAAUUAACUCGAAACAAACAAAGCAAUUUACGAAUAGAAUCAAAUCAAAUUAAACCAAAUCAAAUCAAAUCAAAACAAAACAACCAGUGGUGAGGGCUUAAAUCAUACCAACUCUCCUAACUCCGGAUUACCCUAAACACCCCCCCUCCGGAGAUAGAGCAUGGUAGUGCCCACCACCACCACCAUUUCCAUCCAUGGAGGAGAUCGAGCUCGCGAAACAGUAGCUCUAAUGGGGUUAGGGUUUCGGCGGAGAGGGAGGUCGGGAUCCCUCCGAGAAUUGCGGGAGAAAAUGGAGGAGCGAAUCAAUCUAAAUUAAGUCAUAAAAUUUAAAUAAAAGAUCAAAAAACUUUACAUUUUGGUCCAACUUAGAAUUUUGAGGAUAAUAUAAACAAUAUCUAAAUUUAGGAGGGUGCUUAUGCAAUAAUCACUAGUGAUGCUCCCUCUGGAAACUUCUCAGGUUGAACGCGAGUGACCGUUUAAUUAUUACCGGCAAUCGCCCGUUCCCGCUCGAAGCCUCUCGAUCUCUCCACCCUAGUCAUCAACCCAGGGCCUGGAACCUUCUCGUCCCCCAUUACUACCGCCACGUGUCGGUCCACCCCUCCGACCCCUCCAACGGCUAUAAAUUCCCCACCCAUCGAACUUAGUCGAGCACGAAUCUCCGCGACGCCUCCUCUUCGAAAGCGAACGAAACGAUGAGACGAUCCGUUGCCUUCUCCGUUACCGUUAUCUUGUUGCUGCUGCUGCAGCUGCUAACUCUAGCGCCGUUAACGGUCGGUUCGCUGCUGACGUGGCUGGACCGGCCCGGGAGUCCGGUCCCGGACCGGGUUCUCGCCGACCCGUUCCGGAUCCUGGAGCAGGUGCCCUUCGCGCUGGACCGGGAUGACGUGGCGAUGGUCGACGUGGCGCGCGUGGAUUGGAGGGAGACCCCCACGUCCCACGAGAUCAUCAUGGACGUACCAGGUAAGAGCAACAAAGACACACACACACUAUUGUAAAACUUAUCUCACCUAUCACAUUUUUAAAUUAAAAUAUUUUAAUUUUACUAUCUAAUUUAUAAUUUAAUUAAUAUAUGAUCAAAUUUAAAACACCUACGCUUAUUCAUUUCUCUUGGUUUUCUCUACACGCGAAGGUAUAAAAAGAGAGGAGCUGAAGAUAGAGAUAGAGGAGAACAGGAUCCUCCGCGUCAGCGGCGAGCGAAGGCGAGACGACGAGAAAAAGGGGGAGCACUGGCACUGCAUCGAGCGGUCCUACGGCAAAUUCUGGCGCCGGUUCCGGCUCCCGGACAAUGCCGACCUCGACUCCGUCACCGCGAAGCUCGAGGACGGGGUCCUCACGGUGAGCCUCAAGAAACUGGCCCCUGACCAGAUCAAGGGCCCGAGAGUAGUGAGCAUCGGCGGCGGGGAGAGCGAGGGCAAGGGCGAGGAGAAGAAGAAGAAGAUUACCGCCGCCGACGCAGAAAAGAAAGUUGAGCUAUGAAUAUAUAUAUAUAUAUAUAUAUAUAUAUAUAUAUAUAUAUAUAUGCGCAUGAUGGCUUUGGUGCCUUUGUUUUGUCCAUGCUGUACUGGUGUGAGUGAUUACCAUCGAAUAAUAGUGUUAUCGUAAUGCAGGUUUGUGCCUGUUGGUAUAGUAAAAUUGUUGUAAUGUAUUAAAAAAGAAAGAAAAAAAAAAAAAGAGUAACUUCUAUUGUGAAUCCUUAGUCUAGUUGUUUUUAUUUUUGCUAAUUUUCUCUUUUUGAAACCUUAAAACCUCGCUGGGGCCUUUUGCAAUAAAAAAUUCACUUAUUUUGGGCUUGGUUUUGCAAAAUCGCGGCCCACCUUUUUCGAUUUUUACAGAUUCGGUCCACUGUUUCAGCAAAGUGACCAAAAAUAAAACCAUUUAUUAUUUUUGUCUCUUUCCUCUUUUUGUUUCUUCUCGUUCGUUUCUUAUUUUCUUUGGCCUCCCAUCCCGAUGCCACUUCUCCCCGCCACUACCGCCCCCUUCUCCUCCACUCCCCUCCCCCCCGACACCAAGGUCUAGCAACCUCCUCCUCCAAGCGCUGCUCAAAGGCUCGCCGAUGGUUGCGCUGCCUGCGAGCUCUGGCUCGACAUGGAGACGCUAACGCGCGUCCCAAAGACCUCGGGACUCGCUAAAUCCGUCUACAUGACGCCCGCGGUCCAAGUCCGCAAGCCCUGGAACGCCGUCCGAUCUCUUCAGAAGGAGAUGUCCACGAAGUUCGCCCCCGACGGCGCCGUCGCCUACAACACGGCCAUCCACGCACCUUGGAAAUCUUUAUCAACGCCGCGUCCCGCCCGCUCUAGGACGGGGGGCGGGGGGGCGCGGGGGAGGGCGCUGGUCCGGGAGUGCACAAGCCGCGCGCGGGGACCGGUCAGCGCGGGGCCAGUACAGAGCGCGGGCGGCGGCGGGCGGCACCCGGACCAGGCUUGCGCGCUCCGGCUUCUUUACAUUCUUCAAUGUGUAAUGGUGCACCAUUAUACCAUUAAUGGUACCCAUUACACCAUUAAUGGUGUAAUUUCAUCAUUACACCAUUAAUGGUGUAAUGGUGCACCAUUAAUGGUGUAAUUACACCAUUACACUAUUAAUGGUGUAAUGGAGCACCAUUACACCAUUAAUAGUGUAAUGGUGCUCCAUUACACCAUUCAUUACACCAUUAAUGGUGUAAUGGUGCACCAUUACACCAUUACACUAUUAUGAAGAAAAAGAAGCCGUGUGCACCGCAUAUCCGCCCGCCGCCGCUGCGUGCACCGGCCCUGCCGCCGACCUGGCCCCGCCCCCCGCUCGUGGUGUUCGACGAAUCGCCCGCUUCAGGGGCUUCCUGAUCCCGCGCUUCCUCGGCUUCUCCAGCAGCGACAAGGGAAUUCUCCCUCCGCGUGCGCACGGAGCGCAGCCCCCUCGGCAUGAGGCUUCGGACGAGGUCGAGCGCCGCGUCCGGGGAGUGGGGAGCGGGGUGAGGGAGCCCGGCGCGGUCGCACUAGCUGAGGAUCGCGUUCCUGAUAGCGACGUUGGGGAUGAGGAGGGGAGAGGCGGAGGCGGAGGUGGAGAGGUUGAGGGCGUGGGAGAGGCACGGAGGGGUGAAGGCGAGGUCGACGCACGCGUGGACGCAGCUCCGCUCGCGAUUGGCCGUCGCAGGCACAGCGUCACCACCGACGAGUCGCGCACUCCGACCUUGGCGCCCGACCUGAGCCGCCUCUGCUCCUUUGGCGGCCGGAGGACCCACUGUUGGCGGCCUUCCGUGCGGAUCGGGAGAGGGAGGCGGACGCGGCGUCCCUGGGGAAAAGAAAGAAAAAAGAACGAGAAAAAAAAAGAGAAGAGAGAAAAAUGUAUAAGGGUAUUUUGGUCAGUUUGCUGAAAAAGUGGACCGAAUCUGCAAAAACGAAAAAAGUGGUCCGGUUUUGCAAAAGUCCAAAAUAAGUGGAUUUUUUAUGCAAAAAGGCCAACCUGCUGUUAACCAAGCUAGAAAUGAGGCCCAGCUGGAAGAUGGUCUGGCUGAUUAUGAAAAUACUUGUGCUGCGAAGCACAUUUUGUAAUGGUCUUAUCGGAUAGCAAUAAUAAUAAUAAUUUAUCGGAUGUAAAUUAUCAAUCUAAAAUACUGUCCUAUAAAAUCCCUCCUUUUAGAAAAAUAUUUAGAAUGUAUUAAUUAUAUUAUUAAUGUGACGAUUUAAAAUUUGUGGCCGUCCAAGCCAGCCAGGAUUAUCUGAUGACCUGCAUAGUACUUUUAAUUUUUAGGCUAUGAUAACACAUAUAAUAAUCCGAUCUAUUGGCGAUUAUAUUUCAUUUUGUUCAAACUACCGAUUUAAAAUAUUUAAAUUUAAUUAUUAUUAUUAUUAUAAUAUAUUAUUUUUUAUAUAUUUAAUUAUAAUUUUGUAUUCAUUCGAUGUGAAAUUAUUAGGACUUUACACAUCUUAUGCCGGUUAUAAAAGUUAGCUUUUAAACAACAAAUUUAGAAAUAUUUGAAUCGUCUAAUCAUAUUUAACUGUGCGAGUAUUUAAAGUUGAUUGUAGUUACAAUAAGCGGGACAAAAAUUUGGUGGGCAUUCAUCCCCAAACAAUUUGUUUGGGGACGGAGCCGAUGGGCGCUGCGUGUGUACGUGCACCCAUCACCACCGCCCCUUUCUUCGUUCUCUUUCUCUCUCUUUCGAAAAAACGAAGCCCACAAAUUUUUUUCUUUUUAUUUUUUUUGCCGUUUCCAGGGCCGCGAUGGGCGCCGAUGCGGCACCCAUUGGCAUGGUCCCCGGACAAAAUUGUUUGGGGACGAUGCCCACCAAAUUUUUGUCACAAUAAGCCUAAGAGCAGAAAAUUUUUUAAAAAAUUGAAUAAUGUAAUUAUAUUUAACACUGGGUAGUUAAGCCACAUUUUCUUUUUUUUUUAGAAUGAAGCAUUUGGGCCAAUUUGCAUAAAAAAUCCACUAAUUUUAGAUUUUUGCAAAAAUGAACCACCUGACGCCUCUUCCUUUUGUAUGUCUUCUUUUUCUUUUUCUUCUCUCUCUUUUUUCUUCCCUCUCUUUCUUUUCCUUCUUCCCAUAAAAGCAGGCUACCAUUUUUUAAACCAGACUUAGACGUUUUUGUUUUUNUUCACUAAUUUUGGGCUUUUGCAAAAAUGGGCCACAUUUUUUAUUUUUACAGAUUCGGUCCGAUUUUUUAGCAAACUGACCAAAAUACCCUUGUAUCUUUUUCUCUCUCCUCUUUUUUUCUCUCGUUCUUUUUUUUUUUCUUUUCCCAGAGAGCAGCGGAGGUGUGGAAACGCCACCCCCCCUGCCCCGGCGACGUCGCCCUCGUCAGCUCCGGCCACGUCGUGGGCGACGAGCCCGCCUCCCCCACCUCGGCCUCUCCCCCGACCCCUCCUCCUACCACACCCUCGCCUAGGCCCUCUGCCGCCGCGGCCAGGCCCACUUCGCAGCCUCCCUGCUCGACGACAUAUGCUCCACUGUGGCCUCCUUCUUCUUUCUCCUUCUCCGUCAGCGCGCCAACGCGAGACGACGACAGAGGGAUGCAAACUCGGCCCGAAGCCAGUCGGAGUCGCGAGGGAGGAGCGCGGAGAGGUGGGCGGCGGCGCCGAUCCGCGCGGCGAGCUCGCGGUUCUCAGCACGGAGGCGUGCAAGGCAGCUCCAGAGCUCCUCGAGGUGGAAGAAGGAGGAAAGGAAAAGAAAAAAAAAAGAGAAUAAACCGAGGGAAAGAAGGAGGAAGAAAAAAAAAGAGAAUAAACCGAGGGAAAGAAGAAGGAAGAAGAAGAAGAGAAUAAAAAAUAAUAUAAAUUUCACCCAAAUAGUGCAACAUUCGCCUAAAAGGAGCAGAGGCGAAAUGGUGUAAAUUUUACCGUGUUUGAAACAAAAAUUGCACUAUUUCGCCCAAACUUGCACCAUUUCAUCAAAUUUUACACCAUUUCGUUCAAAAUUACACUAUUUCUCCUUCUCCUCCUCUUCCUCUUCCUUCUUCUUUUUUACACCAUUACACUAUUAUAUCGUAACAAUAAAAAUCUCUUAAAAACCGAGCCGGAUUUGCCUAUGCCGUCGACUCGCCCUAUCCGUCCUCUGCCGCCUUCGCCACUCCCGUUCGAGCACGAGAACGAUCGCCGUAUUGCGCGUGCCGCGAGCGGAUCUUCGUAUCGCAAGUGCCACAGCGGCGCUCUCGAGCCGGAUAGGCAUAGCCCUAGAUGGGGCGGCACUGUCGUGCGCCACGAAGCUCCGCGGCGGCACGCGCAAUACGGGGAUCGCUCGUGCUCGAACGGGAGUGGCGAAGGCGGCAGAGGACGGAUAGGGCGAGUCGAUGGUGUAGGCGAAUCCGGCUCGGUUUUUAGGAGAUUUUUAUUGUUAUGAUAUAAUAGUGUAAUGGUGUAAAAAAUAAGAAGGAAGAGGAAGAGGAGGAGAAGGAGAAAUAGUGUAAUUUUGAACGAAAUGGUGUAAAAUUUGAUGAAAUGGUGCAAGUUUGGGCGAAAUAGUGCAAUUUUUGUUUCAAACACGGUAAAAUUUACACCAUUUCGCCUCUGCUCCUUUUAGGCGAAUGUUGCACUAUUUGGGUGAAAUUUAUAUUAUUUUUUAUUCUCUUCUUCUUCUUCCUUCUUCUUUCCCUCGGUUUAUUCUCUUUUUUUUUCUUCCUCCUUCUUUCCCUCGGUUUAUUCUCUUUUUUUUUUCUUUUCCUUUCCUCCUUCUUCCACCUCGAGGAGCUCUGGAGCUGCCUUGCACGCCUCCGUGCUGAGAACCGCGAGCUCGCCGCGCGGAUCGGCGCCGCCGCCCACCUCUCCGCGCUCCUCCCUCGCGACUCCGACUGGCUUCGGGCCGAGUUUGCAUCCCUCUGUCGUCGUCUCGCGUUGGCGCGCUGACGGAGAAGGAGAAAGAAGAAGGAGGCCACAGUGGAGCAUAUGUCGUCGAGCAGGGAGGCUGCGAAGUGGGCCUGGCCGCGGCGGCAGAGGGCCUAGGCGAGGGUGUGGUAGGAGGAGGGGUCGGGGGAGAGGCCGAGGUGGGGGAGGCGGGCUCGUCGCCCACGACGUGGCCGGAGCUGACGAGGGCGACGUCGCCGGGGCAGGGGGGGUGGCGUUUCCACACCUCCGCUGCUCUCUGGGAAAAGAAAAAAAAAAAGAACGAGAGAAAAAAAGAGGAGAGAGAAAAAGAUACAAGGGUAUUUUGGUCAGUUUGCUAAAAAAUCGGACCGAAUCUGUAAAAAUAAAAAAUGUGGCCCAUUUUUGCAAAAGCCCAAAAUUAGUGAAUUUUCUAUGCAAAUUGGCCAAGCAUUUGCCUUUAGAUUUUAUUGUUAUUCUUUAUUUUAUUUUAUUUUUUUUUGUUGAGAGGGCCAUAGUAAGAUACUUGUUUGGUUUAUUUUUAUUUUGUUGUUGUUGUUGUUAUUGUUGAUUGUAUUUUGGUUUAAUUACAUAAUUUUAGUAUAGAUAUUAUUUAUAUAUAUAUAUAAAGAAUGAAUAAAAUUUUGAGUUUCUAUAUAAAGUUUUUUUAAAAAAAUUAAUACCCUCGAAGAAUAUAUCUGAACUUAAAAUAUUAUUAAAAUUUUUUAAUUGUUUUAUAUAAAUUUUAAUUUACUAAUCAACAUCAUCUAAUUUUCUAAUCAAUUUAAUUUUAAUUAAUGAGAGGUACUUAACAAAAUCUGAUAGAAUUUUCUCUAUUUUAAUGCUAAAUAAAAUUAUUUAAGUUGGCACAUAAAAUAAAAAUCUCUUGAAAUUCGCAAAUAAUGUUUUAAAAUUUAUUAAAUAAUUUUGGAGGAUUUUUUUCUCAAGUAAAUUUAAUAUUUAAAUAAUUUUUAUUUUCAAUUAUUAUUCAAAAUGUGGAUAAGAAAUGAGUGGAUCUCAAACUCUCAAAUGUAUGUAAGAAACUAGAUAAAAAUAAAAUAAAAUUUAAAAUAAUCCAAAAAACAAAAAAAAAAAAACCCCAGAAAAAAAUUAGUGCUCCGCUCUUCUGGAAGCUUCUUCUUCUUCUUCUUCUUCUUCCCGAAUCCCGAUAAUGGCGAGCCCCGUGUUAACUCCCCAAACCCUAAUCUCCUCCUCCGCCUCUUCGUCCUCGUUGUUCUCUUCUUCGAUCCUACUCCGAAGAGUCCACACCGCAUCGUGCCUCUCCUUGAGAUCGAGGAGAUUUGGUUCGAACCGCGGCGCCCGCUCGUUGGCGAUAAGGGCGGAGACAAUGGCGACGGAGAAGCUGGGGAUCAAGGUCGAGAGGAACCCGCCCGAUUCGAGGCUCAACGAGCUCGGAGUGAGGCAAUGGCCCAAGUACGUGUUUAGUUCCUCUAUUUUUCUUUUUUGAUCUUUUUCUCUCGUAAAUUUGUAGCCUUUGUCAUUGAUUGGAUUGGGCGUGUUCGAAAUUGAGAUCGGAGUCGAAGAAAAUUUGUGAUUUUGGUGUGUUUCCGCUCCUUUUUGAUGAGGUAUAUGUAGGAAAAAUUGGAAUUUGGGUCAAAAAAUUUGGUAGGCCGUGAAAAAUUAGGCCAAAAAAUAGGGAAUUUUUUUAUCUGGGUUUUGAGCAGGUUGUUUUUUUGGUCAAUAAGCUGUGGAAACAGUAGUUUUGGUGGUUUAUUUCGAAAAAAAGCCCCAAAAUCAUACAUUUAGAUCGGUAUUGUUAUCAUGUCGUUUGCUAAGUACUUCAAAUUCAAAAUUAGCUUAUGAUUCCUCUGACAUGUAACAAUUAAAAAAAAAAAGAAAAAAAGAAGUGCACACAAUUCCUAGUUGUAACUAAGUUCAUACGUUUAGGGGAUGUUUGGUUUUCCGGAAAAAUAUUCCAGAAAGUAAUUUUGUGGCUUGAAAAGUAUUUUUCGUUCGUUCGGUUCUUAGAAAAAAAUUAGUCUUUCUGAAAAAUCCUUUUUGGAUUGCAUGAAAAAGUAGAGCUUUUGUUUUCCGAAUUUUUUAACAGGAAAACCAAUACCGUGGAAAAGGGUGAAAAACUUCUUUCCGGAGAACCUAUUUCCAUUCUUUUCUGAGGAAAUCAAAAACCCCCUUAGGAAAAAAAACGUAGCUUUGGAGACAAAACUCGAUCGGAUUUAUGGUAGCAAGUAAGAUUGCUAUAACUGUUGGCCGCUUGUUGCCGCAUAAGCGUAAAAUUGAACUUGUGUAAGUGUAGGUUUUUUCCUUUGAUGGCGGUGUAAUCAGUAUAGCUGAUUGAAGUGAUUGGUUAGUUAUUCAUUAUAUAGCUGUUAAGAAGGAUAACUCGCGUUGUUUGCUUGGCUUAUAUCUUUGAACAUGCCUUCAAUUUGCGUUUGGAGCUCAUGUAUUGUUGUUUUUGUAGGAAAUUAUGAGGGGUAACUUCUUCAGUAGGCUUGAAGUAUUUUGGAAUAUACAAAGCAUUUUAAGCUGUUGAAAAAGGUUUUGUAAUAGCCUAACUAGACUUGAUCUUCCGUAAAUGAAAUGUGAAAAGUGAAUGGUCGCGGGGGUUUCAAUGCAAGUUUAUAGCCAGUUAAAUGCAAAUUUUUGAAUAAGAUUAGAGUGGAACGUCAAACUUGGUCUCCUCUUACUUCUUUGGCUCUUUAAUCCAUAAAUGUAGGGAACUUGGAGCUGCCCAUUAUUUGUGUUCCUUCUUUAUUCAUUCUAUGAACAUUUGAGUGUCUAAAGACGCCAUGAGAUUGAUCCGAGUUAUAUUGGCAUUUCCUGUAUGUUAUUUGUUCAUUAGGUGGGGAUGCCCUCCGAGCAAAUUCCCGUGGACGUACACGGCGAAGGAGACCUGCUACCUUCUGGAGGGGAAGGUGAAGGUCUUUCCCGACGGGCACGGCAACGACUACGUGGAGAUCCAGGCAGGCGAUCUCGUGGAGUUCCCCAGAGGCAUGAAGUGCACUUGGGAUGUCUCUGUUGCCGUGGACAAGCACUACAACUUCGAAUAGCUUAAUUGUUGGGUCGAAACGAAGUACUCUUCUGGUAUGAUGUAUGGUCUAAGAAGUAGGAGAAUUAUUCCUAAUGUGUUUACCGAGAUGCAUGUAGUUUUCUAACCUUGUGAAGUAAUGAUAUCAAGUCCGAGGGAGGCUUAUUAUCUUAUGAAUGAGCAUGAUGCAUCGAUUGCCAUAUGUCUAAUGAGCAACAUGACACAGUAGAAAUUUAAGUUAUCUAUGGUUGAACCUUCUUUGCUUAUUCAGUGAUAGAACUAGAACCAAUUCAGCAACCCACUGGGCUGGCUUUGAACUUUGGCUGUUGCAUGCAUGUAUUGUGAACAAAGAUUUGGAUAGGAGAUAGGAUUUGGCCUUUUCUUCUGGAAAUUCCACCAACAUUUACGGAUUGCAUUCUGUCGGCGGAACUUGAGAUCUCUGCUGCUGAUCACGCACUCGCAAGCAUACGAAGAUCGGCCUUUGGACUUCUGUUUUGCUCGGUGGGCACGGAGUCGAGUUUGCAUAACUCACAAACUUCUGCGUGUUUUCAACCUUAGACAUCGCAGUGGUCAAAAGUUUCAGAGCAGUUAGCAUCUAUUUGGUUCAUUCUCAACCCUUAUUCCAGAUUUUCACUUCGAUUCCCAACCUUUCGAUUUUUGCAUAUGGAUUCUCAUAGUUGGUCAUUUCAGAAAUUCUGUCCUUUUUCGACAGAAAUAGCCACUUUGGCACUAAAUCUUGUCUGCCACACCAGCACCAAUUUUUGUGUCACAUGACAAUUUUCGGUUGAUUUAAUAACAAAACCAUAGAAGUUUUAAUAUAUAUAAUUAGAGUGAUGGUCCAGUGAAAUUAUUACCCUUCCAAAGAUGUAAAAUUUGCUUGGUUGUUGGCCCCUCUCUAAAAUUUGCUUCCUUAUUUUCCCUUUCAGCAGUGAUAGUCAUUGUCAUGGCAAGGAGAGACUGAUGGCUUGUUUUAGCAGCAACUCACACACCCAUGUGGCUUCCCUAAAAGCCAUUCAUGAAGAUCUCAAAGCCAUGGUGGGUAUUCCAGAAUCCAGAUUAGUUUGAUCAGAAAACAGAUGUGGUGCUAUUAACAAAGCUAAUUUUACUACGUACGCGUCAAAUUUACCGAAUUUGUUGAAAAAAUAUUGACAUGUUCAAGUAAUGUUAUUGUCGAUAAUGAACUUGGCUCUGUUAAUAAUAUCAUCCUGUAAUUAUUCAUGACCACUUUUUAUCUCUAUUAUACAGUCAUGAUAUCAUAAAAUUUGCCAGUAUGGCUUCUUUCAUCCAAUCUCUUGUAAUUAAUUUUGCGAAUAUGUAAAUAUAAUAAUCACAGAAAGAUGCAUACUGCACCACACUUAAGAAAAAACAGAAAAGAACAAAAGAGAGAACAUUAUCUACUCCACAUAAAAGAACAACACUACUGAAACAAAUCCAUACCUGUACAUUAGUUACCACCAGUUUAUGAGGAGGAACAUGGCAAAUUAAGAUGAGAAAAAACAAGAAAAAUAAUUCCAAGCCCAACCUCCUCUUCAGCUUUAACAUCCCAGAAAAUCACUUACCUAAUUCUGCUAGGUAUGUUUUAUCUCAAAAUUGGAGAGAUAUCAUGACAAGGAAAUAAGAUGUAAGAACUAACACAAAGUAGUUAUAAACUUGCUUCCAUCAAUACCAAUCUCUAGAAUCUGCACUCCAAUGACAAAACAUCAAAUUCAUCAAAAAAAAAAAAAAAAACCAAAAAGGUAACAAUUAGAAAGACUGNGUAAUUUUUCGAAACGAAAUGAAAGAUUCGCACGGCCUCGGCCGGUCGAUUUCUGCGGACGCACACGAGUUCGCCGAAAAGGGAAGAGAAAUAAUAAAAUAAAAAAAAAAAAAAAAAAA